GGAUGUCCGUAGAAGAGUUAAAGGAACUGAAGAAGCAGUUAACGGAAUUACAAGAGACUUGGUACAUUCGUCCGAGUUCCUCACCUUGGGGAGCACCGGUUCUGUUUGUACAAAAGAAGGAUGGAUCACAAAGAAUGUGUGUGGAUUAAAGAUCUCUUAAUGAUGUUAUCAUGAAGAAUAAGUAUUUGUUGCCCCGCGUUGAGGAUUUUUUUGAUCAGAGGAGAGGUGCUAGGAUAUUCUCGAAGAUUGAUCUCUGAUCGGGUUAUCAUCAAAUGAAGAUUAGGCCAUUGGAUAUUCCCAAGACGGAUUCCUCGACCCGAUAUGGUUUAUAUAAGUUCAUUAUAUGUCAUUUGAACUAACUAGUGCACCAACCUAUUUUAUGGAUCUGAAGAAUAAGGUGUUCAUGACCUGGACAAAUUCGUCAUGAUUUUCAUCAAUGAUAUUUUUAUUUAGUCCAAGAGUGAUAGUGAUCAUGAGGAACAUCUGAGAUGGGUGCUACAGAAGCUACGAGAUAAUCAACUCUACGCCAAGUACAGUAAAUGCGAGUUUUGGAUUAACGAAGUGUCAUUCCUUGGACAUAUCAUUUCUAAUGGAAGGAUAUUAGUGGAUCCUGCUAAAGUUAAGGAGAUAGUGGUGUGGAGCAUACCCACUACAGUUACGGAGUUUAUUGGGGCUUGCAGGAUAUUAUCGGAGAUUUAUUGAAGGAUUUUCUAAGAUUGCUAAGCCUAUGACCUCACUUCUGGAGAAGGAAAGAGAGUUUAAGUGGGAUGAGAAUGCCAAGAUAGUUUUGAUCAACUAAAGAAGAGGUUAAUGUCACCACUAGUGUUGGUUAUGCCGGAUCUACAGAAAGGAUUUGACAUUUAUUGUGAUGCAUGUGGCCAAGGCUUGGGAUGUGUGCUCAUGCAAGAAGGACACAUGAUUGCCUACACGUCUCAUCAGUUACGGGAACAUGAAUUGAACUACCCCAAUCAUGACUUAGAAUUAGCAGCUGUUGUGCAUGCACUUAAGAUAUGGAGACAUUAUAUCAUGGGAACCAAGUGCCAAGUGUACACGAAUCAUAAGAGUUUGAAGUAUAUAUUCACUCAGAAAGAUCUCAACCUUAGGCAACGCCGUUGGUUGGAGCUUAUUAAGGAUUAUGGUUUGGAGAUUCACUAUCACCCGGGCAAGGCGAAUUUGGUUGCAGAUGCCUUGAGUCGAAAGGAGCAUGUUCAUUCAGCUGUUGUUGCCCAGCUACCUGAUGAGAUUGUUGAGGAUUUCAGGAGACUCAACCUGGGGAUAGUUGCUCACACUGAAGGAGUUACUAUUGAUGUGGAACCUACUUUGGAGCAAGAAAUCUGCAAAGGACAAAUUGGUGAUGCUAAAAUACAAGAGAUUAAGGAUCCGAUUACUGAAGGUCGAGGUCCAGAAUUUAUGGAAGAUGAGCAAGGCACCAUAUGGUUCAAGGACAGGAUAUGUGUUCCUAAUAUUGAAAGUCUUCGUGAGACUAUAUUGAAGGAGGCCCAUGACUCGGAUUAUUCUAUUCAUCCUGGUGGUACCAAGAUGUAUCAGGAUUUGAAGCAGAAGUAUUGGUGGUAUGGAUUGAAGAGAGAUGUGGCUGCACAUGUGGCUAUGUGCGAUGUGUGUCAAAGAGUUAAGGCUGAACACCAGAGGCCAGUUGGACUAUUACACCCACUUAAGAUACCCGAAUGGAAGUGGGAAAAGAUUGGUAUGGACUUCAUGACUGGAUUGCCUCGCACCCAAAAAGGUUAUGAUUCUAUAUGGGUGAUUGUGGAUAGAUUGACUAAAGUAGCUCACUUCAUUCAUGUCAAGACUACUUAUAAGUGAUCUCAAUUGGCUAAGUUAUAUAUGGCUUGGAUUGUGUCUCUACACGGUGUACCAAAGAAGAUCAUUUUGGAUAAAGGAUCACAGUUUACCUCCAGAAUUUGGAAAAGUUUUCAUGAGAAUAUGGAUACGAAGUUGAAUUUUAGUUCGACUUACCAUCCUCAGACCGAUGGACAGACUGAAAGGACUAAUCAAGUAUUGGAGGACAUGUUGAGAGCUUGUGCCCUUCAGCAUGGUAGUAGUUGGGACAAGAGUCUACCUUAUGCUGAGUUCUCAUAUAAUAAUAGUUACCAGGUCAGUCUAAAAGAUGUCACCAUUCGAGACUCUAUAUGGCAGGAAGUGCGGGACUCCUCUACAUUGGUACCAGACUGGAGGAAGACAGUUCUUUGGACCUAAACUUAUUCAAGAGGCAGGAGAACAAGUCCGUAUAAUUCGGGAUAAUUUGGGGGUAGCUCAGACCAAACAAAAGAGCUAUGCGGAUAAUAGAAGAAGACCACUGGAAUUUCAGGAAAGAAAUCAUGUGUACCUCAAGGUGUCACCACUUCGUGGAAUGAGGAGAUUCAAAGUUAAGGGCAAAUUGUGUCCUUGCUUUAUUGGACCCUUUAGAGUUUUUUUAGGCCAGUUGGAGAGAUGGACUAUCAACUCGAGCUACCUGAUAAUCUAUCUGAUGCGCAUAAUGUAUUUCAUGUGUCUCAACUUAAGAAGUGUCUCCGUGUCCCUGAGGAAUAGUUACCAAUGGAAGAGCUCAGUGUUCAGGAUGAUUUGACUUACACGGAGCAUUUUCUAUCAAGAUUUUUGAUACAUUGACUCGAGUUACAAGAAAUGAAGUUAUUAAGAUGUGCAAAGUACAAAGGAGUCACCAUGGAGAAGAUGAAGCUACUUGGGAGAGAGAAGAAGAGCUUCGCAUAGAUUUUUCCACAUUUUUUCCCUAGUCCUUCCUAAAUCUCGAGGACGAGAUUAUUUUUUAAGGGGGGUAGGAUUUGUAAUACCCAUUUUGUAAAAGAAAUAAAAGGAGAAUUUCUUUUCCUUUAUAUGUGAUUUCUCCAUUUAUCAUCACAUAUGAACGCUUCAUUUGAAAACAAAUAAUUAAUAAGAAUGUAUACCACUAAAUUAUGCAUCAUGCUGGGGUUUUAUUUGGUGUGCAUUUUGUGACAACAUAAAAUGACGAGAAAAAUAUUAAAGCUUAAAGUGGAAUUUAAAUUCUAAAAGGAAUUCCAGAAUUUAGAAAAGAAAAGCAAACAAAUAUUAUGUGAUAUAAAAAUAAUUGGACCUUUCAUAUUAUUGGGUUCAAUAUGUACAUUUAAAAUGAUUAUAAGCUCACAAACAAAAUUGAAUUCAAAUUUGAAUUCUAGAAAUUAAAAGGAACAGAAAACAGAAAAUAAAAGAAUAAAGAAAAAAAGCCUGUGCCUUGGGCCAAACCCUGAUUCUGGCCCACUCGCGCCAUUACACUGCGUGGCCCGUUCCAAUUUUUUCUCUCAUCCCGCGCGGCCCACCAAGUUCUCCCCACCUCUGGCUGCGCGACGCACGUUGACGUGUGGGCCCCUCCCGCAAGCCACUUACGCAUGCACAACUUGGUCCCUCGGCGCUGAUCGGUGGACCCCAUAGGUCAGCCCCUCUAUCCCAGUGUCUGCGUAGGCACGACCUCAUUUCCCAGUCACUGCUAUGUGGGCCCGCACCCGGGAGGGUCUUCUUCCCCGUAUAACUCGGACCACGCCGUUGCGGGGGAUCGGCCGUGAUCUCAGGUGACCGCCCUCCUGCUCGGACUUAGUCUAGGGUAUAAAACUGUGUCCUCCCCAACCCUACGCACCGCGCCGCCUCAGCCCUUACACGUCCCAGCCACGCUCGCCCACUGUGUGCCGUCGUGGAGAGAUAGAGAGAAAUGGGAGAUCUGUCGCCGCCGUCGAUCGGUGACCACACCGUCGCAAGUGUUGUCCGCGAGUGCAGAGAGGAUAGCCGGACGCCACGGAAACCGACCGUUGACUCACCAGGGGAAUUCGAUCCCCAGACGACCUUCAAUUUCUCACCGUCGCGCAGCGACGCCAUGAAUCUGUCGUGCGCCAUGGACCUGCGUUCCUCCGUCCUCACCGCUGGUAUGCACCCCGCUGUUGAAUUCAACAUCAUCCCCUCCAUGUGUAGCACCUUUCAGUUGGGUGAUUUGCGCGCCAGUGGGUAAAUCGCACAGCUCCGGCGAACUUUGCCUCAGGGAAGCUUGGCGCCGCCGUCUGCGCGUGUCGGGGGGUUGAGGGUAGGCUGUAUACCGAUCGUCGAUGGUUGUGAUUAGAUCUGGGGGGAAAGUGCGUGAACCACUAAUCUGAUCACUGACGGCUGCGAUUAGAAGCCAUGUAUCCCUUCGCGACUUUAUCUGGUGACUGUUAGAUCGAGAUCCUACGGCUACUAAGGAGUACAAGUGCAUAAUGUGUGCGGCCCAAUCCAUGCCGCCUACCGCUGAUCCAACGGUCCAGAUUACAUCCAGAAAACCCCCUUCGUUUGUUUAAAUCUGAGCCUUCCAUCUCAAGUCCAGCGGCCAGUGAUUAACCAUACCCCUUUGGCCGCACACAUUAUCAAAUGAGCCCCUGUGCUUUCUCGUAAUUGACCCGCGGUGCAGCGCAUAGUAUUCUGAGUCUUAGAAUAUUACACGCAAAAACCCCUGAUCUUUGUGGCAAAACUGCCCGAAUUAUUCCAACUUAAGUGCCUAAGUCCCACCUCAGAGGCUAGACCACACUUAAAUGGGAAUAACCCGUCAAUCCCUCGGAUUUAGUCCGACGAGGCCACUGACAGGAUCAAGUACCACAGUCUCACUCGAUGGUGAGUCAUGGAGCAAAUACAAUAAAGCAUAAAACCAAACAUUAAGGAGUUUUAAAUUAUUACAUCAUCAUCGGAGUUUUUGCAAAAGUAGUCAUCAUUGUUCGAAAUGCAGCGGAAUAAAACUAACGGUAAGUAAACAGAGAUAUAGGGAAGCCUGUCCCAUCACUCCUCAUGCUCCUCCUCAGCCGAGGCGGGGUCCCACUCGACAGUCCAACCCGGUGGCAAGAUGGACGGCCAAGUCACUCCAGCAACCAUGUCCUCCAGAGAACCUGUAAAAAUUAUGCCACAAGCAAGGCUGAGUAUACUAAUACUCAGCUAGACUUACCAGGUGUGAGGAGUCUACUCCUCUACCUCUAGACAUGCAGCUGUUUGGCUGUGGGGUUUGGCUGCCCAAAGCACUAGCUGAGUUUAUAAAUCAAGUUUUAGCUUUGUCAAGUUUAAGUGUGACUCUCUUAAGGCUAAAAGUGUACUAUCUACUCAUACAUGGUAGCAAACAUAUUUAGCAAUCAACAUCUUGUGUCAACUCAUCACAUUUCCACUUGUUACUCAAUGCAGUACAAUGGAUCAAGCAGUCUCAUUAGCUGCGAGAAGCAGACGAUUCGAAUCGAGUUUUUAUCCUUGCAAGGUAAACCUAAACACACGACAUAUAGGGGCACUCUGUCCCCACACAUAUCAACCGUCCCCAUCGAUUCCCUGGCAACAGAUCAGGGCUCACCGCCUUGGCGUACAAUGCCUCACUGACCCCGACUGCCGUCGUGCAGUGAUCGCACUUGUACCCACCAUAACCGGAAUGGGAGACCACGUCUCAGGUCGCGUGAGGGGAUAUGUCUGCAGGCAGGUUCACUCAGGUACUAGGCUUACCGAUUUACCAUAUUUCUCGGUAUGUGUUUAGUACGUUCAAACGCUUGACACAGGUAUCCGCACGUUAAUCCUUAUUCCAAUUUUCCAUCUCGUAGACAACCAAUCCCCAUGGAUUGUUGUCCACAGACCAAUCAUCAAUAUGAUAUGAAAGUGGGUACAACCAAUUCCUGACCUCGCGUGAGUGCUAGAAAAAUCACUCGACUUCUACCGAGAUCCUAAUUAAUAAAGCAGCUACUCGACCUACCAUACUAGUAUUCAUCUCAAUAGGAUUCCUGAGAUCAUGCAAUUAGGGUUUCAAACAACUCCUACACUUAAGUGCACAUUCAAUCCUACAAUCAUUAAGUGUAGUAAAAUAGCAUAAAUAAUAGGUUAUGCAUAAACCAGGGCUUGCCUUCCAAAGCUGUGGCAGGCAGAUCCUCUGGUGCAGGUUCUGGUGCUGGAUCCGGGGCUACCUCCUGAGCAACUCCUUGCUCCGGCAUGAGGACGUACUCUCCGUCAGCGAGGUUUCAAUCUAUUGAAUGCAAUGAAUAUGUAUGUCAUGAUUAUGCGGGGUUUAACAACAUUAUGCUAAAGGAAGAAAAACUAAGUUAGUUAGUAACUUAGGGUUUCUUGGUCAUACGUGGCUUUUAGUGGUUUAUGCUUAUCACUCUAGGUUUAGGUUUGUUAAGGCUAAGCAUAGUGGAUUUGUAUUUCCCUUAUAUAAUUCAGUGGACAAUUUACAAAGGGUUUUAGGGUGACACUAAUUUCCAUCAUUCAUUUUCUCCUUUAUUUUUUUAUUUAUGAAUUCUAGUGUGGGUUUGAACUACAACAGUGGUUUAACUUUUUCCAAAAAUUCUGUAAAAAUUACAGUGGGUUGCCAUUCGUCACUAUAGUCUGUUCUAGGAAUUUGAGGUUCAGAAUAAAAAGACUAUGCCUUGGACAAAAAUAACAAAAGUUGGGCAAAGGGGUCACUUUGCACUACAACUCUUAACUAGGUGUGGGUUCUGUCCUAAGGGUUAUUUUUGUUGGUAUCUAAUAGUAAUAACAUGCAUCUGUGCCAAAAAUCAAAGAAAGUUAAUUGGUGGUUAUUUAGUUGCGAUUUUCUAAAGUUUAAUGUCAAAAAGGCACUUUCUACUGCCUUGUUAUUUGAAAAAUGCCAAACAGCAAAUUUCAUAUUUUUCCUAUGUUUUUAAUAACAAAACAUUACUUAUCCCAAGGUUUGGGGUGUUUUCACUUUGAGGUUAUUUUUCUAGGGUUUUUCUAAGUUUUCCUUGUUUUCUUAAAAUAAAAAGUAUCCCAAUUAUUUUGUACUAAACCAAGGUAUAAUAAAUUUUUCUAGUGAACUAUACUGAAUAAGUGGACUAACAAAAAUAUGGGUGCUCCCUGGUUCUUUAUUUAAAUUACCUUUCCUAUUUUCUUUAACUUUAUGCACAAUGUGAAAUAAAUGGCAAACUCUACCUAAAUGGGGUGUACAGAGGGGUUUAUCAUUUUUAAAUAGGUCAGUAGGUGGUCAAGUACUUCUCUAAAUUUUCUUAACCUCAGUUAAAUAAUGCAACUAUUUUUAGCCUUUGGCCAAAUCAAUAUUUAAACCAGAACCUUAAAGUUUUCUUUAACAUUUAGGGGUUUUAUAUUUUUCUUAAGUAGUUUACAUUAUUUAAAAUCUAGCAAAAUUGGUUUGACUUGAUUUGGGUGGAUAAAACAGAAGAUAUGAAUUAUUCAAGUUCUGUUUGAAUUUAAAUCAGGUUAAAUAAAUGGUUUCCUGGAAAAACCACUUUGCACCGAAGUCCUCGGGUUCUUUCCAAACUAACUCUCUCAGUUAUACCCCUGCGCUACUAUUCCCCUGAGUCACUGACAAUGCGCAAAACCCCCUAGCCUUUUCUUCUUCUCCCCCGCGGUCCCUCCCUAGGUUUAAACAGUACCCGCGAGACAGAAAAGGGUGGCGCGGCUUACCGGCGGCGAGAGAGGUCCGGCGAGGGGCGGGGUUGGCUCCGGGAGGUCCUGGCGGUCACAACGGUGUACGGCUCGACGGCGGGGGUGGCCGGAAUCGUCCGGUCCACGCGCAGGCGGGUGGUCUCGUCGGCGGCGGUUGUUCCGGCUAAACCACGGCGAUCUAGUUCAAUCAAAGGGCACGAUGAGCUUCACGGGGUGACGUAGAGGCUGUGUGCACAAGGAAUCGAAGAAUGGAGCAGAGGAUUACCCGGUCUACGCUCACCGGCGGUCGGGCGAAGUCCGGCGACCGUGGACUGGCUUCUCCGGCGAAGCAAACUCCGAUUCCUCGCUCGGGGAGCUUCACCAAGGCGUGCACAGUCUCUUCCAAGGGUCGGGCGUGGCUGGGAAGGGCUCGGUUUGCCGGUCUACGGUGGCGGGGGAUCGGGCGGCCGCGGGCACGCCGUGCACGGGCAAACGCCGGUGGCUUUGGGCUCCGGUGAGGUCGAGCGCGUGCGGAGGGGUACGGUCGAAGUCCCUGGGUGCUUUAUAGGCGCGGGCGCGGGCCAUGGCGCCGGCUUGGCUUUGGCGCGACGCGGGGCACGCGGGGGCGCGCGUCGGGCGGGCUCUGGCGAGCUCAGAGCGCGUCGAACACGUGGCUCUUUGCUUCUGCCUCUGUUCUUCCCUCUGCUAAGCGGCCAAAACGUAUGAAUCUAGCCCUAGGACCUGUGAGAGAUCUCUUCCCUGCACCUAGAGCUACCUAGUUCAUGUGAGUUCCAAGGGUAGAUGUGGUCGGGUUAGAGAUAUACGGGGGUGGGAAGUCGGCUAUGUCAGAGAUGUCCAAACCGAGACAAAACUGGUGCCAAGUCGUGUCAAACGACUUAGGGUUGGGCUCAACCCUUUCCAGGGUGUUCUAGAGGUAUUUUGGCGCCACUUUGUCAAUUAGGUCAAAUGUUUUGAAGUUUGAAAGAGGGUGAACAUGUGUGAUCUUUAGCCAAGGGUUGGUUUUGGACUUAGAAAAAUCCUGAUUUUUCUUUUGUGCUCAACCCUUUGGUGGACCUUUUGGGGCUUUUUUGAAAUCUUUUUGGGGUUAUUUUCUUAAUAUUAUUUGUAGGUUAUUAAGUGUACUACAACUUUUAUAUUUGGCCUAAGCCAUGAUCAUAUGGUUCUCAUGCCCCUUUGGUCAUAAUUACUUCUAGGGUUCCCAUUGUCCAAAGGGGGGUUUACAUUAAGUUUUGGGCAAAUCUCCCCUUUAUACUUGCAUAACCAGCCAAGGUAUGACAUCUAAGAUGUGUUACACUUACUUAGGAUUUGGAUUUCCAAGUUUGGUGUACUUUGCUCAAACUAAACCACAUGUGAUAGUAGGUUUAAAUGGUGUAGCCAUGGGUGAACACCCUAAGUAACACCUGAGGUGUUACAGCCCUCCCCCCUUAAAGGAAUCUCGUCGUGAGAUUUUAGGUAGAGUCCCUUGGAGGGGUGCCGUGAAGGUGUGUUGGGGUGCUACCCUUUUCUUUAUCCAAGUUUUUCUUGUUAACUGCUCUUCGAAUGUCAUUCUCUUUGCGACUUCAGAAGGAAGUCCUUUUUAAGUCAAAUCCACAACUUCGACUAUCCUUAUCAUCUAAGUUUUUCUUAUAUUUGUAUUCAAAGGGCAGGUGGGGGGGUUUUGGGGUUACAUACCGACUCUUUUGGGCAGAAAGUCGGGGAAGCGAGAGCAUAGAAAAUCCUCAGUCUCCCAUGUAGCUUCUUCUACUGAAUGGUGACUCCAUUGAACCUUAUACAUUCGGAUCGAUCUUGCCCGUGUUGACCUCUCUUUCUGAUCCAAUACCUUGACGGGGUACUCUUGAUAGGACAAGUCUGGUUCUAUCUCAAUGUCUAGUUCAGGUAGCACUUCCGUGGGUAGACGGACACAUUUCCGUAGCUGAGAUACAUGAAACACAUUGUGAACUCCUGACAUGUGGGGUGGUAAUUCCAAUUGAUAGGCUACGGGUCCACAACUUGCUUUGAUCUCAUAGGGUCCAAUGUAGCGAGGAGCUAACUUGCCCUUGAUCCCAAAUCUCUAGGCACCCUUGGUGGGUGAUACCUUAAGAUAAACAUGAUCUCCCACUUCAAACUGCAGAGGUUUCCUCCUCCUGUCAUGAUAACUCUUUUGCCUGGCCUGAGCAGCUUCUAAGUUCUUCGUAAUAACUCUGACCCUAUCCUCUGCUUCAAGCACCAAGUCUGGUCCAAAUAUUUCCCUCUCUCCUACUUGAGACCAAUUUAGCGGGGUCCUACACCUUCUCCCAUACAAGGCUUCAAAAGGUGCCAUCUUCAAACUGGACUGGUAGCUGUUAUUAUAAGAAAACUCUGCCAAAGAAAGACACUUGUCCCAAUCCUUUCCAUAGUGUAACACACAUGCCCUCAACAUGUCUUCCAAAAUCUGAUUUACCCUUUCUGUCUGGCCAUCUGUUUGAGGAUGGUAUGCUGAGCUUCAUAUUACCUGGGUCCCAAGUGAUUCUUGUAGCUGCUCCCAAAAGUGUGCCACAAAUAGUGCUCCUCUGUCAGAUACAAUGGUUUUUGGAAUACCAUGCAAAUGCACUAUUUGAUCAACAUAGAUUUCUACAUAUUUCUCUGUCUUGUGGGUGGUAUGAAGUGGCAAGAAAUGAGCGGUCUUGGUCAAUCUGUCUACAAUAACCCAAAUGGAAUCAUGGUGCCAGGAGGUAUUGGGCAAUCCCACGAUAAAAUCCAUGCAGAUGUCCUCCCAUUUCCAAGAUGGUAUGGGAAGGGGUUGCAAAGUGCCUGCUGCCUUCAAAUGACUGGCUUUGAUUCUCUGGCCGGUAUCGCACUCGGAUAUGUACUUGGCAAUUUCCCUCUUCAUUCUGGUCCACCAGUAUAAGGAUCUGAGAUCGUGAUACAUCUUGUUGCUGCCGGGGUGCAUGGAGAAUUUUGAAAGGUGAGCUUCAUCCAAUAUCUUCUUUCUGAGCUCAGGGUCCUUGGGAACAACCAAUCGAUCUCCAAACCAUAGAAUUCCCUUGCUGUCCUGACGGAAGCAUUUGUAUUUUUCUGCUUUCUGCUUGAUCAUUUCCUUGAUAACCUGAACACCCUUGUCUUCAAUCAGUGCCCUGACUAUCUGCUCUUGUAAUGUGGGCUCCACCGACAUAUAGUUCAAAGCACCUGAAGAAACAACUUCCAGGUUUAGCUUGCACAACUCAUCACACAGGGUGGUAACUCUUGCAUCCAUGCUCAUACAAUUGCACUCGGCCUUUCUGCUCAAGGCAUCUGCCACAACAUUGGCCUUGCCAGGAUGGUAAUGCACCUCCAAAUCAUAGUCCUUGAUUAACUCUAACCAUCUCCUCUGCCUCAUGUUAAGUUCUGCUCGAGUGAAAAUGUAUUUGAGACUCUUAUGAUCAGUGUAAAUGUUACAGUGAGCUAUCAUCAAGUAAUGUCUCCAUACCUUGAGAGCAUGAACCACAGCUGCUAACUCCAGAUCAUGUGUAGGGUAGUUCUGCUCAUGGGGUCUAAGUGCUCGGGAGGCAUAAUCAAUUACUCUGUUGUCUUGCAUUAAGACACAUCCCAAACCAGUACCGGAAGCAUCACAAUAAACUUCAAAGGGCUUGGUGUUAUCAGGUUGAGCCAGCACUGGGGCUGUUGUCAAAUGUUGCCUUAGCGUAUGAAAGGCAGCUUCACACUUCUGGCUCCAAUUAUACUUAACUCCCUUCUUCAACAGUUCAGUCAUUGGCUUGGCAAUUCUGGAGAAAUUCGAAAUGAAUCAUCGAUAAUACCAUGCCAAUCCCAGAAAACUCUGAAUCUGCCUCACUGUAGUUGGGGGUUUCCAAUCCAUCACCUCUUGCACCUUCUCAGGAUCAAUAGAUAUCCCAUCCUGAGAAAUUGUGUGACCCAAGAAUUUAAUUUCCUUCAGCCAGAAUUUACAUUUAGACAAUUUGGCAUACAACUGAUGGUCACGCAGUCUCUGAAGUACAGUGUGCAAAUGUUUAGUGUGCUCGGCUUCAUUCUUGGAAUAAACCAGAAUAUCAUCAAUGAAAACGACCACAAAUUUGUCCAACUCUGGCAUGAAUACUGAGUUCAUCAGGUACAUAAAAUAAGCCGGGGCAUUGGUCAGCCCAAAAGACAUCACCAAAAACUCAUAAAGCCCAUAUCUGGUCGAGAAAGCCGUCUUCGGAAUAUCACUGGCACGGAUCUUGAUCUGAUGGUAACCCGAGCAAAGAUCUAUCUUGGAGAACACUUUGGCUCCCACCAACUGAUCAAACAAAACAUCAAUGCGGGGCAGUGGGUAUUUGUUUUUGAUGGUCACCGCAUUGAGAGGGCGGUAAUCAACACACAUUCUCAGACUUUCAUCCUUCUUCUUUACAAACAAGGCUGGGCAUCCCCACGGUGAAGUACUUGGGCGAAUGAAUCCCAUGUCCAAUAACUCUUGCAGUUCCUUUUUCAGUUCUGCCAAUUCCGCAGGAGGCAUCCUAUAGGGUCUCUUAGAGAUAGGAGCAGUCCCGGGUUGCAAUUCAAUUGCGAACUCAAUGUCUCUAUCAGGUGGCAUUCCUGGCAAUUCAUCCGGAAAACAUCUGGGUAGUCACAGACCACUGGGAUACUUUCCACUGAGGAUUCUAUCAUAACGAAGGCACAAGAACGGGCACAACCGUGGUCGGGCAAAUAUAAUGUGGUUUCACCACAGGUCAGUGAGUGCACUUCAAUGGCCCUAGCUGCAAUAUCAAUCACAGCCUGAUGUUUGGUCAACCAGUCAGUUCCCAAUAUGAUAUCCACACUAUCCAAACCCAAAAUGAGGAGGUUGGUUUUAAUUAUCAGACUACCAAACUUUAUAGGCACAUUCUUGUUGAUUUGGUAGGUGGCAACCCUGCCUCCUGGGGUUGAAAUUGUAAUACCCCCAUUGGUUUGGUGAAAAGGUAACUGACACUUGGCACUAAAUUUGGCACUGAUAAAACUAUGCGAUGCACCAGAAUCAAAAAGAAUAAUAGCAGGAUAAUUCAAAACUGUAAAGAUACCAGUCAGGACGGGUGCUCCCUCUAGAAUAUCAGCCAUGGUGGUGAAGUUCAGCCUGCCUUGCCUCACUUGCACCUUCUGCCUCUUGCCUUGAUUCUGAUUAACAUUCUGCCCCUGCCUCUGCUAGUUUCUGGGGCAAUUCUUGGCAUAAUGUCUGGUGUUGCCACAUGUGAAACACCUGUUGUCAUUUGCCUGGCGAUAUUGUUGCUGCUGUUGAUUGUUCCUCUGAGCUGGAAACUGGGUGCGGUUGGGUGCCUGUUGUUGCUACUGUGGUCGGAUCACCCAUCGCCCUUGCUGCUGCUGAGGUCCCCUGUUCUGAGUGUCAGACACAAUCCUGAAGCGCUGUGGCUGAGCUGAAUGUCCUACCACAGGGGUCUUCCUCUUCUUCUCUGCUUGACGAGCUGUGAUACAGUCCUCCUGGGAGAUGGCCAUGUUGACUAACUCAUUAUAGUUGUUGGCCCUGACGGUGUUGAGACGGUCACGGAGCUUAGUGCUGAGCCCCCUUCUGAACCUGUCCCUCUUCUUCUCGUCUGUGUCUGCAUGAUACCCGGCAUACUGGCACAGGUCAUUGAAGGCCUGAGCAUACUGUAGCACUGUCCGAUUCCCUUGAGUGAGUGCCAGAAACUCGUUGAGCUUUCGGUCCAUAAUACCUACUGGUAUAUGGUGCCCCCUGAAAGCUGCCUUGAACUCUCUCCAUUCCACCUCUCGGUCAUCUGGCUCCAUGGCAAGAAAAUGGUCCCACCAAGUCUUUGCGGGUCCGCGAAGCUGCUGGGUGGCGAACCUGACCUUAGUGACCUCUGAGCAAACUCCAUGGAGUAGCGGGAAUUUGGAUUCCACUACUCUCAACCAUACAUCCGCAUCAAGUGGGUCCUCAGACCUGGUGAACAAUGGUGGCUAGGUACUGAGGAACUCCUGGUAGGUGGCUGCUGCGGGGUGACGCUGAUGAUCACCACCACCAUAGUGCUGGGGUGGCGGCUGACGCUGAGCUAGCUGCCUCAAGAUCUCAUUCUGCUGGGCCAUUAGCUCCUGCAGAGUAGGAGGCGGUGGCGGCGGUGGAGGAACGCGCUCAUUUUGACCACGACGCGCUCUCCCGGCCAUCUGAAAAAUCACAUAUAUUCUCAAUAACACAUCUUUAAGGUUCAAGGUUCAAUCGCGAUGAAAGAGUCAAAAGGCGAAACUGAUAGAUUCUUGCAUAAUCAUAAAAGAUUUCACAUUGCAUAAAUUUCCUUCUUAAAUUAAGACUAACAUCAUCCAUCAACCAUGCUUCCAAAAGAGUUUAUCACGAUUACAUCAAUAGCCCAAAAGACUCAACUCUAUCUAGCCUAGUACCCCAAGGGUGCAAAAGCUAAGCUAGCUUCGAGGAGUUCGACUAUCACCGACUUCUAGCUCUAUCCCUGGUACCUAGUGAGCGAACGAGGCAACACUCGACUCGGGGGAAGGUGGUCUCCCUGAGCCAGCAGUGUCCAAGCUAGAGGUAGGCUCCUCUCCUCCCUCGAUGUCGACAUCCUCGUUGGCCUCCAUGUCCUAGAUCUCCUAGUGAUGAAUAUCCAGGUGCUCAUUAGCCUCGGCAAGCUACUGCUGGGUGUUGAUAAGCUGAUCCUCGAGAACCUCGAUGGUGUUCUCCCUUGUUCCCACCAGUUCCUCAAGCUCUUGGAUCUCGUUUGACAGCUGCUCCACCUGUAAGUCUUUUUCCACCAUCUUAGUGGACAAAUCAACCACAAGCUCCGCUCUGUUAUCCAGGGUGAUCUUAGUUGCCUCCAACAAUGCCAUCAGAUGGGACAUUGCCUCACCACGCAUCACUUGCAGGCGGUACAGGGCAUUCAUGCACCAUACUGUCAAGUGAGCAGUCUGACCUGGGUAGAUAGCCCAGAUAUCCUUGGCAUGCUCCACUCGGUCCUUCCACAUUGGGUCGUCCUCCUUCUCAGCGGGGAACAAGCCAAUGGGGUGGGUGGACAGCUCCAAGGGGUGGAAUCCGCAGAAAGUGGUCAAUCCGUGCAGAGCAAUCGCCUCGAUCGUAUCCUCAGCCCGGUAUCCAAAGGACUCGGAGUCCAGCGAACGCCAGCCUGGCUGCAGGGGAUGAGGCUCCAGGGUCAUCCUCACCCUACAGCGGGGCACUCGGUGCUUCUCGAACUGCUGCACCGCGUACUGGGGAGGCGUCGUGUAACCGGCCCCCUGAAGUACCUCCCACAAGAUACGGGGAAAGCCCUCUCGUGCAAGCCCUUCAGUGUGGGACAGUGCAUUCCCUUCGUCCGAGGAUCCGUGGGAAGUCAUUUGUGUACGGUUAAGCGUAAGUAAAAGAAAAAGAAUUAUAAAAAGAAAAGGAAACACAACUCAGCCUCUCUUCUAACUACAACAAUGGUACUGGGGUACUUAGUUGGUCAUCAGUUUGUAUUAAAGUUCUUACCCAAUUAUCCAUUAGUUUAAUUAAGAAUGCAUGCAUGCUCGUCCUGAACGACCUCACAUCAACGUAAAGGGAAUAGGGAAGAACCCCCAUCCCUUAUAGUAGCCUGUAGGGCUCAAUCACUUAGCCACCUAACUACCCCUCUAUCCCCCUAAGGCUUCACGUCCUAGGUCUAUCCUGAUCGUCCUACGAUCUAUCCAACAUUUGUUUCUAUCAAGUUUUACUUUGGAAAAGGAUGGUAUUUAUAGUUUAUUGAUUCCUCUGUGGUGGUACAAGCUCCGAUACCAGCUGUGGCGGAACUACCUGAAUUAUUCCAACUUAAGUGCCUAAGUCCUGCCUCAGAGGCUAGACCACACUUAAAUGGGAAUAACCCGUCAAUCCCUCAGAUCUAGUCCGACGAGGCCACUGACAGGAUCAAGUACCACAGUCUCACUCAAUGGUGAGUCACAGAGCAAAUACAAUAAAGCAUAAAACCAAACAUUAAGGAGUAUUAAAUUAUUACAUCAUCAUCGGAGUUUUUGCAAAAGUAGUCAUCAUUGUUCGAAGUGCAGCGGAAUAAAACUAACGGUAAGUAAACAGAGAGAUGGGAAGCCUGUCCCAUCACUCCUCAUGCUCCUCCUCAGCCGAGGCGGGGUCCCACUCGACAGUCCAACCCGGUGGCAAGAUGGACGGCCAAGUCACUCCAGCAACCAUGUCCUCCAGAGAACCUGUAAAAAUUAUGCCACAAGCAAGGCUGAGUAUACUAAUCCUCAGCUAGACUUACCCGGUGUGAGGAGUCUACUCCUCUACCUCUAGACAUGCAGCUGUUUGGCUAUGGGGUUUGGUUGCCAAAAGCACUAGCUGAGUUUAUAAAUCAAGUUUUAGCUUUGUCAAGUUUAAGUGUGACUCUCUUACGGCUAAAAGUGUACUAUCUACUCAUACAUGGUAGCAAACAUAUUUAGCAAUCAACAUCUUGUGUCAACUCAUCACAUUUCCACUUGUUACUCAAUGCAGUACAAUGGAUCAAGCAGUCUCAUUAGCUGGGAGAAGCAGACGAUUCGAAUCGAGUUUUUAUCCUUGCAAGGUAAACCUAAACACACGACAUAUAGGGGCACUCCGUCCCCACACAUAUCAACCGUCCCCAUCGAUUCCCUGGCAAUAGAUCAGGGCUCACCACCUUGGCAUACAAUGCCUCACUGACCCCGACUACCGUCAUGCAGUGACCGCACUUGUACUCACCAUAACCGGAAUGGGAGACCACGUCUCAGGUCGCGUGAGGGGAUAUGUCUGCGGGUAGGUUCACUCAGGUACUAGGCUUACCGAUUUACCAUAUUUCUCGGUAUGUGUUUAGUACGUUCAAACGCUUGACACAGGUAUCCGCACGUUAAUCCUUAUUCCAAUUUUCCAUCUCGUAGACAACCAAUCCCCAUGGAUUGUUGUCCACAGACCAAUCAUCAAUAUGAUAUGAAAGUGGGUACAACCAAUUCCUGACCUCGCGCGAGUGCUAGAAAAAUCACUCGACUUCUACCGAGAUCCUAAUUAAUAAAGCAGCUACUCGACCUAGCAUACUAGUAUUCAUCUCAAUAGGAUUCCUGAGAUCAUGCAAUUAGGGUUUCAAACAACUCCUACACUUAAGUGCACAUUCAAUCCUACAAUCAUUAAGUGUAGUAAAAUAGCAUAAAUAACAUGUUAUGCAUAAACCGGGGCUUGCCUUCCAAAGCUGUGGCAGGCAGAUCCUCUGGUGCAGGUUCUGGUGCUAGAUCCGGGGCUACCUCCUAAGCAACUCCUUGCUCCGGCACGAGGACGUACUCUCCGUCAGCGAGGUUGCAAUCUAUUGAAUGCAAUGAAUAUGUAUGUCAUGAUUAUGCGGGGUUAACAACAUUAUGCUAAAGGAAGAAAAACUAAGUUACUUAGUAACUUAGGGUUUCUUGGUCAUACGUGGCUUUUAGUGGUUUAUGCUUAUCACCUUAGGUUUAGGUUUGUUAAGGCUAAGCAGAGUGGAUUUGUAUUUCCCUUAUAUAAUUCAGUGGACAAUUUACAAAGGGUUUUAGGGUGACACUAAUUUCCAUCAUUCAUUUUCUCCUUUAUUCUUUUAUUUAUGAAUUCUAGUGUGGGUUUGAACUACAACAGUGGUUUAACUUUUUCCAAAAAUUCUGUAAAAAUUACAGUGGGUUGCCAUUGGUUACUAUAGUCUGUUCUAGGAAUUUGAGGUUCAGAAUAAAAAGACUAUGCCUUGGACAAAAAUAACAAAAGUUGGGCAAAGGGGUCACUUUGCACUACAACUCUUAACUAGGGGUGGGUUCUGUCCUAAGGGUUAUUUUUGUUGGUAUCUAAUAGUAAUAACAUGCUUCUGUGCCAAAAAUCACAAAAAGUUAAUUGGUGGUUAUUUAGUUGUGAUUUUCUAAAGUUUAAUGUCAAAAGGCACUUUCUACUGCCUUGUUAUUUGAAAAAUGACAAACAGCAGAUUUCAUAUUUUUCCUAUGUUUUUAAUAACAAAACAUUACUUAUCCCAAGGUUUGGGGUGUUUUCACCUUGAGGUUAUUUUUCUAAGGUUUUUCUAAAUUUUCCUUGUUUUCUUAAAAUAAAAGGUAUCCCAAUUAUUUUGUACUAAACCAAGGUAUAAUAAAUUUUUCUAGUGAACUAUACUGAAUAAGUGGACUAACAAAAAUAUGGGUGCUCACUGAUUUCUUAUUUAAAUUACCUUUCCUAUUUUCUUUAACUUUAUGCACAAUGUGAAAUAAAUGGCAAACUCUACCUUAAUGGGGUGUACAGAGAGGUUUAUCAUUUCUUAAGUAGUUUACAUUAUUUAAAAUCCGGCAAAAUUGGUUUGACUUGAUUUGGGUGGAUAAAACAGAAGAUAUGAAUUAUUCAAGUUCAGUUUGAAUUUAAAUGAGGUUAAAUAAAUGGUUUCCUGGAAAACCACUUUGCACCGGAGUCCUCGGGUUCUUUCCAAACUAACUCUCUCAGUUAUACCCCUGCGCUACUAUUCCCCUGAGUCACUAACAAUGCGCAAAACCCCCUAGCCUUUUCUUCUUCUCCCCCGCGGUCCCUCCCUACGUUUAAACAGUACCCGCGAGACAGAAAAGGGCGGCGCGGCUUACCAGUGGCGAGAGAGGUCCGGCGAGGGGCGGGGUUGGCUCCAGGAGGUCCUGGCGGUCACAACGAUGUACGGCUCGACGGCGGGGGUGUCCGGAAUCGUCCGGUCCACGCGCGCAGGCGGGUGGUCUCGUCGGCGGUGGUUGUUCCGGCUAAACCACGACGAUCUAGUUCAAUCAAAGGGCACGAUGAGCUUCACGGGGUGACGUAGAGGCUGUGUGCAUAAGGAAUCGAAGAAUGGAGCAGAGGAUUACCCGGUCUACGCUCACCGGCGGUCGGGCGAAGUCCAGCGACCGUGGACUGGCUUCUCCGGCGAAGCAAACUCCGAUUCCUCGCUCGGGGAGCUUCACCGAGGCGUACACAGUCUCUUCCAAGGGUCGGGCGUGGCUGGGAAGGGCUCGGUUGGCCGGUCUACGGUGGCGGGGGAUCGGGCGGCCGCGGGCACGCCGUGCACGGGCAAACGCCGGUGGCUUUGGGCUCCGGUGAGGUCGAGCGUGUGCGGAGGGGUACGGUCGAAGUCCCUGGGUGCUUUAUAGGCGCGGGCGCGGGCCAUGGCGCCGGCUUGGCUUUGGCACGAUGCGGGGCACGCGGGGGCGCGCGUCGGGCGUGCUCUGGCGAGCUCAGAGCGCGUCGAACACGUGGCUCUUUGCUUCUACCUCUGUUCUUCCCUCUGCUGAGCGGCCAAAACGUACGAAUCUUGCCCUAGGACCUAUGAGAGAUCUCUUCCCUGCACCUAGAUCUACCUAGUUCAUGUGAGUUCCAAGGGUAGAUGUGGUCGGGUUAGAGAGAUACGGGGGUGGGAAGUCGGCUAUGUCAGAGAUGUCCAAACCAAGACAAAACUGGUGCCAAAUCGUGUCAAACGACUUAGGGUUGGGCUCAACCCUUUCCAGGGUGUUCUAGAGGUAUUUUGGCGCCACUUUGUCAAUUGGGUCAAAUGAUUUUGAAGUUUGAAAGAGGGUGAACAUGUGUGAUCUUUACCCAAGGGUUGGUUUUGGACUUAGAAAAAUCCUGAUUUUUCUUUUGUGCUCAACCCUUUGGUGGACCUUUUGGGGCUUUUCUGAAAUCUUUUUGGGGUUAUUUUCUUCAUAUUAUUUGUAGGUUAUUAAGUGUACUACAACUUUUAUAUUUGGCCCAUGCCAUGAUCAUAUGGUUCUCAUGCCCCUUUGGUCAUAAUUACUUCUAGGGUUCCCAUGGUCCAAAGGGGGGUUUACAUUAAGUUUUGGGCAAAUCUCCCCUUUAUACUUGCAUAACCAGCCAAGGUAUGACAUCUAAGAUGGGUUACACUUACUUAGGAUUUGGAUUUCCAAGUUUGGUGUACUUUGCUCAAACUAAACCACAUGUGAUAGUAGGUUUAAAUGGUGUAGCCAUGGGUGAACACCCUAAGUAACACCUGAGGUGUUACAAUCUUCUCUGUAAUUGAUGCCCAGUCCAGAAGAUUAGCAAAUCCAUUAAAAGUAAAUAGAAAUUGAUUUUUAAUGAAUAAAUAAAUGCUAGAAUUUGUUUAAUUCAUAUAAAAUUCAUAUGAGCCCCAAAUUAAUCCAUAACAAUUUAUAAAAUUUUGUAAUAUUAAUGUUUAUCACUUAGAGUCUCUGUUUUGACAUGAAAACAGUAAGAAAAUUAAUAUCUCACUUAAUCCUAUUUUAAGCACAUAAAACUUUUGGAAAUUCAUAUCUUAAAAUCUAUAACCCAAAAAUUAUGAUUUAUGUUCCUAGGAUUAUAUUUUAAUGUGUAGAUUAUUAACAUGUAUUUUGUUUACAUGAUAGGUGUGAUGUUAAUUUUUUCUAUAUACUAUGUAUGUUUGUAUUGUGGCGAGUAGAAGAACCUGUGACUGAGAACCCUGGUGACCAGCAGAUAGAAGUAGCUGAGCAGGAGCUCAUUGAAGGCAAGUUGUGCCCUUGACCACAUUUAUUACCCAAUAAUGCUCUUUCAUGUCAUUAUCCAUGCAUAGGUUUAAUUUUGAUGGGACCCAAUAGGUCACCCUAGAUUGUUUAUCUCUUUACCUUGUUAUCCCUGAAUCACUUGGGUAGCUUUGCUAUUGCUUUACAUGGUUUUGGGAUAAUGUUUCAUUAUAUCCAUGUUCCAAUAUUUUUGUUAUUCUAUUUAUGUUCAUGUCAAGAUCAUUAAUGUUAAUUGGAACAUGGAGCUUAACUUGAGAAACACGUGCCACCACAAGGGUUUAAUGGGACGCCCUUGGCCAACUAACUAGGAAAGCUAGUGGAAGACUACCUUACCCGAAAGGGGCAAGGGCAGUAGGGGAUUGCAUGCAAGGAGGUUCUCGAGUUGAUUUUGCUGUGAUGGCGGUCAGACGGGGGAUUCUUGCAAGUGCUCUUCCCAUAAACUGUAGCGGGUUUUCGGAAGCUAGUUGAACUUUGUAAUGGCCUCGUAGUGGAUCCCUAGCCAUUCACCUCGGUAGUGUCUAAGGGUCUAGCUAGCCCUGGCGACAUGGGAUACACGACUUGUGGGUAAAGGGUACAACCUCUGCAGAGUGUAAAACUGGUAUACUAGCCGUGCUCGCGGUCAUGAGCAGCUCAGGACUCUCUGAUGAUUAAUUUAUGGAACUUAAAUUCAAUUUUUCAUUUGCAUUGCAUGGGAUUAUUAUUAAUUUUGUUCUAUUACUUUAUUUAAGGUUUGGUAUGUACUUACAUUUAGUAAGUGCUAAUAAAGUUUUGACCAACUUAUAAAAGCAAUGCUCAGCUUCAACCUUUAUUUUGUUGAUCAGCCUUACACUUCAUAUGAAAUCCCACUUUUUGAGUUCAUGCCACUUUAUUCCCCACAACUUGUUGAGCGAUGAACAUGUGUGAGCUCACCCUUGCUGUCUCACACCCCCCAUAGGUCAAGAACAAGUACCACUGGAUGGCGCAUGGUGGAUGUUGCGCUGUGUUCGUGAGAGGUCUAUGUCGUCGUCUCCCAGUUGACUUUCUGGCGCCAAGGAUGGAUUUUAGUUCGAUCCUUGUAUAUUUAUCUUUUAUUUUGUAAGACUUCCGCUAUGUAAUAAGUACUCUGAUUAUUGUGACAUUUAUCUCUAUACACUCUGUUAUUAUAUAUGUUGUCUUUUUGGCGCAUGUAUGAGAUGCACCUAGCUUUGUUCCUUAAAUCCGGGUGUGACAAAUAAUAAAUCCAAAAUUCACUAAACUUUUAGGAUAAACUUUAAAUAAUAUUUAGAGGCCUUGGGUAAUGUUGGGUAUGAUUUGGACCAUGUUUGAUACUUAGAACCCAAAACCCUACUCCCUGCCCUUUGAACUUCACUAUUGACUCCGGAAACCCUAAGUUCUCAGAGAUUAUGAAGGAAAGUUGUACUCAAGACUUUAGAUAAUAAACUUUUAUUAUCCUUGCAUCUUCAUGAGCACUACAUGAGCAUUCAUUAUUAUACUUGGCUAUAUUUAGAAAACAAAGAGUAAGUAGAUGUCGAAGAGACAAGGGCUUCAUCACCACCACCACCUAAGGAACAUCAGGUAAGCAGUUGUUUCUAUUUUGAUAGCUGCGGAUCCGAGCCUGAUUCACCAGUAACACAAGGCAAGCCCCGGUGCAUUUGCCACCUCCUCGUUCCUUUUAAAAUCUUUCUCACUUGCUUGAUGCAUUAGGUGAUAGGAGUUGUGUGCUAAACCAAUUCCUGCAUUUCCUUCCUUGAAUAUGAUUACCUCCCUUUGAAUCCCUGUUUUACAAAAGGUUUUUGUUAUGCUUAGUUUUGCUUUAGAAAAACAAAAUGUUUUGUUUUUACAAAAGAUGAUGAUGCAAAGUGGGAGGGAUGUUUUUGAAAAUAAAACUUGAUGGUGGAUCCAUCAUGGCCAUGAUGGAUUCAACAUCGGAAAAAAUGUACCUCUGACAGGUACCAAACUUUGGGUUUGAAAUGAUAAAGCUGAGACCGGGCAGGUGACUUGCACGAGAAGAGAGUCUCGGUGUAGUGUCUCCGUCUAAGUCGAUUAAGGACUGUCUCGAUGUAGGCUUGCUGACCGAGGACCCUUUAACUGGUCACAUGCCUCAUCAUGGGUAAGCUUUGCCCCAGGCAGACUAAUACCAGAAUAAGAUAACACGCAAUGGGAGUGGAGAGAUGGCGAGAGUAGCGUGUACCCUCCGUGGCAAGAGGCUGGACGGUGGUGUAUCUGUGCUCUCGGUUGGCGUGAACCUGAUCUGGUCUUAAGAACCCCGAUGGCGAGUUGACAUAUUAAAGGGUUAAGUGCUAGAUAUGUCGUGUGAUUGGAGAUCCUCAGCUGAGUAUAAUCGAUUCGGAUCACCGUAACUUCGUGGACAUGAAGACUUGGUCACUUCCCUAUAUGUAGAAAUCCAAUAAAGAUGAAGGGUUGUUAAGAAAUUGGCUAGUGCAGGUCAAGUGAUUGAACUAGGGUAGAAAGAACUCUAGUUGCAGGUAGUUUUACUUAACUUGAUAAAUAAAACUGGAUUUUUAUGGAUCCACUUUUAGUAAGCAUUUCUGUAAACAGAGUCAUUGAUUAUUGAUAAGCCUUACCUUGACUCCCUUAAAGCCAGCAUAUCCUUGAGAGUCUUUUACUUUGUCGGGUAAGUCUUGCGAAAGUACACUUCGUACUCAGGGCUUUGUCCCAUGUUGUUUUAGGUGAAGAAGCGACAAACUUUUGUUGCUUUUGUUCAAAGGUGGUACCCAAAGAAGAGAACCAAGACUAGAGCCACGGGAGGGAAGGCCCUCCGUUAAAAACUUUUUACUGCUUAUUCGGGAGGGGUUUUUGCCUCCCAUGGUUUGUAAUAAUAAUACUCAGCACUCAUAUAUUAUGUUCUGGUCUGUAAAUAUUUAACUCUGUCUUACUUUUCAAUAAAAGUAAGUUAUUGUAACUGCUUCCACAUUUCCGUAUCUCCUAUGAAUUGUGAUGUCUGCGUGACGGGUAAAACGCUCUUUGGAAGGUAAGGAAUUCAGAUACCGAACAUGUCAAGUGAUCAGGUGCACCUGUAGGGUUGUCUGAGGUCCAUUAGACAAGGACAACAGUAGGUUGGCCUAAUGACUUGGGAGGUUCUGUCACAGGAUCAGCAGAGUGAGCGAAGACAGGGGUAUGGCCCCUCAUGAAUUCUGCCCGCUUGUCUCUGGGCACCUAAGGCAUCUGAACUUGCACUUGAGGCUGAGGUGGGGGUGAUAGCUGCUGCACCUGCUGCAUUGCUGCUAAGGUCUGACCAAUUGCUUGGACUGCCUGAGUUUGCAUCAUGAACAUCUGCUCAACUGUCAUCGGGGGUGGCGGUGGCAAUUGUUGCUGCUAAGCUGCAUCUUCUUGGGGUGCCUACUAUUCUGGCUGAGCACUCCUUGCACCUCUGCGCCUGUUCUCAGACAUCUGUAGAAUGCACACAAACAUCAGAUCUGACUCUGCAGUCUUUCAGCAUAAGAAAAGAUAUACGGAAAUUUUCAUAGCACUGAACAAAUGAUCAUCUUCACUAACAUCUUCUCAGAUAAAGAGGAAAGUGGAAAUAAAUGGAUGUAACACCCCUAGUGUUUAUAUUCCGCUCGACAAUGAGUAUGCAUUUAAGCACGUAAUAUCAGUGGAUAAAAUGGAUGCUAAAUUUUAAUCAUCUUUGUCUAUCACAAUUUUAAUAUUGCAUCUGUUUCGUCUGUCGCGAGUUCGACAUCGUUUUUAUCUAUCCGGACUCUUCCUAAAUUUUCGCGAUGUUCGGAACAUAGUUGUUCCGAAAAUCGGUGCGUCCGAUGAUUAUUUAAAAUUCAUUGCUCGCGUGAAUACGAAUUCGGAAGCUCGACCUACUCUUACGACUUUAUCCUGGGCAAAUUAAUUUGAACUCGGCAACAGAAGUGUUAAUGCAAAAUUAAAUCAGACCACACCCGGAAUCCAAGAAAAACCACGCGUAGAAUUAUAAUUGAGUUGUUUCCUAGUCGAAUCCAAUAUCGUUUAGCUUGAUCCGAUAACAUCAGGCAAAAACUCGAACCUUGGUAAUUUAAUCUAUUCCUUACCAGAUAAUUUUUUGUCCGACUUCUACGUAAACCAAAGCUGAUUACAAUAUCGAAGUUGAAAUCAGUUCUAUUCGGGUUAUCGUUUCUCGCCGAAUUCAAAACUUCAGACAUAAAUAACUGAUUAAAAUUCAUAUAAUUUCAAAGUAUUCUCUAAAUCAAAUCAUGUCCAAUUUAUCGUUAUCGAUCUCAAGUAUUUUGAUCCAUUUUAUAUCACUAAAUAUUAUGAUCCAAAAUAUCUUCGAUUUUCAUUAAAAAAGAAUGAUUAAAAAAAACCUGAAGAUAUUCAUCUCCUAUCCUUAUCCUACGCCGCUCUUCUCCUGAUAUUUUUUUUAGCCGUCGUCUCCCCUGCAGAUUUUUUUCCACGACGUCUCCCUCUCCUUAUCUUCUCUUCCGCGCGCGCCUCCUCUGAUGUUUUCUAGCCGCAUCCAGCCCCUUCUCCAGCCGGCGUUUCUCCCUUCCCAUGGCGUUCGGCCCUGCUCGGCCCCCGCCCUCAGCGCGCCCUGGACUUCCUCCGCGGUUCCUAGCUCGGUCUUCUUCCUGGCGUCCAACUGGAACUCCGUAUUUUCUCCCUCAGCUCCCAUGGCGCCCAGCAGAGCUCUCUCUUCCCUUCCCAUGGCCGCCGUGCCGACUUCUCUGGCGCGCCCUGGCGUCUGCGUCCAGCUGAGCUCCUCCAGCUCGCAACCCUCUCCCUCUCCCUAGGUCCUCGCGCGCGCCGGCUCUGGCUCGGCCACUCCUCUUCCUCCUCCCGUUCCCUACUCGCCCAUGGAAGAUGCGACAGCUCCUCUACUCGGCGCUGGAAUUUCUGCGAGCUCUCUUUCCAUAGCCGAGCUCCCUCGCCGUCGCCUCUCCGUGCUGGCUGACCAGCCCGCCAUGGUGGCACACGCCCCUGCUCCUUGUUCCUGGCUCGCUGCUCUGGUUUUCAUCUCUUCGCGUCGGUAUUGUUGUUUUCAAGCGCUCGCCCAGGUCGCCGUCGUCAAGUCCCUGUGCACGCAGCCAUGUCCCUCUGUUCGCCGUGGCCGGUUCGCUGCUCGCGUCGUGGUCUCCCAGCUCGUCAGCACUUGUUCAGUCGUCUCGGCUCGCUCGGCCUUAAUCCCCAUCAUGUCAUCGACCUCGCCAGUUGUCGUCAUUCGUCGUUGCGUCGUGUGUGCUCGUCCUUGCCAAGAUCUGGCCCUGCGAGCUCCACACGCCAUGGCUGCGCGUCGCCGUGAUGUUACCGUCUCGCCGAGUCUCCAAGCCGGCCAUCAAGUUCUGCUUUCGCUUCCGUGCCGCACACAUUCAUCUUUGCUAGCUGGUCGUGCACCUCACUUCGACGUUCCGUGUUCGCCAGUUGCCAUUGCUCAUCCGCGUCAAGACAUCACUCGCCGUGGUUCAGCUCGCUAGUUCGUCGUUGUUCCAUCGUCUCGUCUCAAUGCCAAUCCCUACGUGAUGCCUACGAAUUGUGAUCGCGUCGACAAAAAGAAUCCCAAGAAGAUGUGGUGUUGAAGUCAAAGCCAGCAGCCCUUUAUUCUUCAUCGUCAACCCACGCCGUGUCACAACAUGCCCGUCGAUCUCGAUGAUCUAUCUGCCAGUUGCGUGCCACUUGUGUUGAGCUUCAAAGCCCCCUGUCAAGCUCUUCCCCUAGAAGCCGCCUUCGAGCAUAACCCCUACCAAGUGUUCGAUGGGAAUUCUGAACCAAUACUCAUCGUCGAUCUGCGUUUAUCAAAUCAUUUUGGUCAUGGUAAGCCGAUGAGUUAUUCAGAAUAGUUCGAUCGUUGAAUAAAUUAAUAUGCUAUUGUGAUGCUCACUAGGUGCUCAAUAAAUUGCGUGAGUCAUAGAACUCUCGUCGACUUCGUGAUUCUUGCGAUUAUCGAGCCAGAUUCAGUAUGGCGAAUUGUUUCGCUAUUCCAGUCAAUUAGCUGAAUUGAUGGACCGAGUAGAAUAUUAGUAGGCAUGUGUGAUGAUGACAUAUUUUAAUCACUUAUAAAGAUGUGUAUAUAGUUACGAUAAAUAAAUGUUGAGAUAAGAACAAAAAUUUGAGUUGCUACUUUCAGUGAAAAGUAAAUUGGUAACACAAAGAAUAAAUUUAUCAUUUAAAUCGUUCUACCAUUUAGUGUUGUCAGUAGUGAUUUUUGAUAAAUCUUGAUUGCAUAAUGAAGUCGAUGACUUGCUCGGAUAAUCAUUAUAUCUGAUGUUUAGAAAUCGAUUAUGUGUCAGAUCAAUGUUGUUUGCCACUCCGAGUAGUGGGGAGCAAAUAACAUCAUCUGGUGAUCGUCAAUUUCGUGUUCGGAGUGUGUUGGUGGUAAGCAUUUUCAGAUUUUCUUGUGUCAAAAGAUAGUGGUCAUACUAUGCUGACUUGGUAAAAAUAUAUGUAGUAAUAUGAUUCUGUUAAUAAAUCAUAAAAGAAAGUAGAGUGUGUGUAUAUUUUAUUGUAUUGCGAUGUAUGCGCUACCUCCGAAUAGGCUAGAAAGGCGUAAUUAUUAUAAAUAGUCGUACAUCGCUAGCUAGUAUUUGCUUAAUGUUUUGUUAUAAGUGUUUCAUUCUCUCUGGUGUAGGUAUCUAUUUUAUACUCUUUAUACUCGUGCUCAUACAUGUGCAUCGUGCAUCUCAUGAUGUACGAUAAAUAAUCGCGUGAUGCGGAAGACGAGCCAAGUCGACCCCAAGCGCGGGCUACUCCGCAUGGUGAUGCUCAUGGACAAACCUGCCUGAUCAAGUGCUGGGACAAGGAUGAUCGUCAAGUGGACAUCGCCUAACAAACACUAACCUAGUGUUAUUCAGGCAAGCCCUGGUGCAUGCAACCCUUUCCUUGUGUUUUUAAAUAAUUUUUACACACUUUAAGUCUAGCGAAAUGUGCAUUAGGUUUAUAGGAGUUGCUUGGAAACCCUUUGAUGCAUUGCCUACCUUGAUAUCCAUACCUUUAUAGAUACUUCUGAUGAAGUAUCGAAAUAUGAUUUACAAAAAUGCUUAGCCCUGCUUAGAUCAUGUGGAUAGAGGUUGUCUUUUGCAUUAAGGCCUAGCUCAGGGGUUAUCCUGAGGAAGGAUGACUUCUACCUGCAAGAAUAUUUUCCUUGGGAGCGUGGUGGGAUCUUACUGCAAAGUUCCCUAUAAUGCUCUUUUCAUCCUAAGGAACACAAACAAUCCUAACGAUGGAAAUACUUAAAUCGGGACUUGGGCUAGGAACUAGUGAUGUUCUACCCAGGUUGAUUAAGGAUUAUAGAGAAUGUGGGCCUGUCGACCGAGAACCUUUUAACUUGUAACACCUCAAGUGUUACCAAGACACUGGCUUCAUACUUGCACUAAUGACCUAUUAUCACAUGUGGUUAAUUGGAGUAGCAGAAGCACCUAAGACUUUGGAAGCAUGAGUUAGCUAAGAAAUGUUAAGGACAAAAGCAUUACCCAAGCAUUUAUGCAAUAAUCACCUUGGGCAAGAGAAGAUUAAACCCUAGACCCUUCUUGAGCCCUUAACUCCCAAAACCCUGGUUUAAGGGAAAGGUUAAACAAAUGUGCAAAUCAUGAGUUAACCCUUAACCAAAGUCUAAGUAACAUUGUAAUCCACAAAAUGUAGAGGGGAAACAUUACAAAAAGAUGCUUUAAAGACCCCAAAUCCAUUCUUUAAGUAGAAAGCACCCUAGAGCUCUCUAAUUCUCUCUAAGUCAAAAUUUAACCCUAAUCUAGAGAUCAUACGUGUUCACUUAGUAAAUGGUGCCAAAACCACUUGGUCUGAAUACCAAAAAGGUGCCAAACCACCUAAGGCACCCACUGGAAAAGUUUGAACCCUAGCCAAAUUCGUUUGACAUGAUUUGGCAUCACUUUUGUCGCGAGGUGGACAGUGAGACAAGCCAGAUUUGGCGUCCGCAAAUCUUCUGACCUAGGGCUUAUAUCCCCUUGGAACUCACAUACAAGAGAUAGCCAUAGGUACCAGGAAGAGGUCUGCGCCGGAUUUUUUGCCAAGAUUCGCACGUUUGCAAUCUCAGCAAGCUUUUGAACAUGGGCAGAAGAACACCUCCACGUGUUCGACGCGCCCUGAACGCGCCAGAGCACGCCCGACGCUCGAACCCGCGCGCCCUGCGCCGCGCCGCGCCAAGCCACACCCGUGUCCCCUGCCCGUGCCCGCGCCUAUAAAAGCCAGCAAAGGCUUCAGUCGUACGCCCUUGCGCGCUCUAGACCUCACCGGAGUAUGAGAUCGCCGGAGUUUGCCCUGCACACGGCAUGCCAGCGGCCGCCUGAGCACCCGCCACCGUAGACCGGCCAACAGAGCCAUUCCCAGCCCCGUCCAACCCUCGAGAGAGAUUCUACAUGCCUCGGUGAAGCUCCUAGAGCAAGGAAUCGAGCUCUGCCUCGCCGGAGACGCCAGAUCAAGGUAACCGGACUUCACCCAACCACCGGCGAACGUAGACCGAGCUCCACGGUGAGUUAUUCUUCGAUUCCUUGCACGGGUCGACUCAUUAGCACCCCGUGAAGCUCCCUGUGCCCUUGGAUUGACCUAUAUCGCCGUGGAUAGGCCAGAGCACUCGCCGCCGACGAGUUCGCCCGCCUGCGCACGUGGACCGGCCGAUUCCGGCCAUCACCAUCGUCGAGUCGUACCUCGUCGUGAUCGCACGGACCUCCCAAAGCCAACCCCACCCUUCGCCGGACCUCCCUCGCCGCCGGUAAGCCGCGCCGCCCUGUUUCCUUCCGCGGGUACUUUUCAAAAGGGGGGAGGGACCUCGGGGAAGAAGGAAUAGAAGUCAGGGGGUUUUUUGAAUUGUCAGCGACUCAGAUGAAUAGUUGCGUAGGGGUAUAAGUUAAAGAACUGGUUUAGGAAAAGCCCAGGGUCCUAGGUGUAAACUGGUUUUCCAGAAAACCUUUUUAACAUUUCUAAUUUAAAUACAAACAGAGCUUGUAAAAUUCAUAACUUCAGUUUUAUUCAACAAAAUUUAGUCAAACCAAUUUUGCCAGAUUCUAAGUGUUGCAGAAUAAUUUAGUAAAAAUACAAAACCCCCUAAGUGUUGCAGAAUAAUUUACAGUUCUGAAUUAAAUAGUGUUCUGGCCAAAAGCUAAAUAAAAGAGGGAAAAUAGUUACACUGUUAGACUGGAGUUAAGAAAAAUUAGAGGAGUACUUAAUCACUCCCUAAUCUGUUUAAAAAUAGUAAACCCCUCAGUACACCAAAUUAAGGUAGGGUUUGCCAUUUGAAUCAUUUUUAGCCUAAAGUUAAAGAAAAUAAAAAGGGUAGUUUAAAAUAAGAACCAGGGAGCAACACACAUUUUUGUUAGCUCACUUAUUCAGUAUAGUUCACUGGAAAAUUUUGUUGGACCCUUGUUUAGUACAAAAGAAUGAGAUACCUUUUAUUUUAUGCAAAUAAUGAAAACUUAGGAAAAUCUUAGAAAAAUAAUCCCGAAGAUAAAACACCCCAAACUUUAGGAUAACUAAUAUUUUGUUAUUAUGAAUAUAGGAAAAAUAUGAGUUCUGUUGUUUGAUAUUUUUCAAAUAACAAGUUAGCUAUAAGUACCUUUUUGGCAUUAAACUUUAAAAAAAUCACAACUAUAUAUCCAGUAGGUCUUUUUCUGUGAUUUUUAACACAGAGACCUAAUAUCACCAAUUAAUCUGGACAAAAAUAAAAUUUGGUACAGAGAUCUCACUUAAAUCAUAGCUAUAGUGUAAAAUGCCCUUUUACACUUGUUUUUGUUAAUUUUGCACAAGUAGUAUCUGAAUUAAUCUCCACCUCAAAUUUUUAGGAGAACCCACCAAUGUCAAUAUUUACCCACUGAAAUUUUUAUAACAUUUUUGGAAAAUGUUACCUAAACCUGAUAGUUCAAAAAUGCUUAAUAAGAAGCAAUAGAAAGAGAAAGGGAAAACAUUGGGGAGAAAUAGAUGAAAAUACAAAACCCUUAAGUAUAUCCAAAAAUAAACCCUAGAGAAACACUAAACUUAAUACUGUUUUACUAUGCAUAACCUUUACAAAUGAUCAUAUCAUUUUUAUGCAUAUAUCUUAUACAUUGCAUUAGAUAGACUGUAAUCUCGCCGACGGGGAAUACAUCCUCGUGCCGGAGCAAGGAGUUGCUCAAAAGGUAGCCCAGGAUCCAGCACCAGAGCCUGCCAUCGAGGAUCUGCCUGCCCCAGCUUUGGAAGGCAAGCCCCGGUUUUAUGCAUAACCGUUUAUAUAUGCUAUUUUACUGCACUUAAUGAUUGUAGGUUUGUACUGUGCACUUAAGUGUAGGAGUUGACUGAAACCCUAGUUGCAUGAACUCAGGAUUCCUUUUGAGAUGGAUACUAGUAUGCUAGGUCGAGUUGCUGCUUUACUAAUUAGGGAUUUCGGUAGAAGUCGAGUGAUUUUUUUGCACUCGCGCGAGGUCAGGAAUUGGUUGUAUCCAUUUGUAUAUCGUACUGAUGAUGGUCUGUGGACAACGGUCCAUGGGGAUGCAUUGUCUACAAGACGGAAAUUGGAAUAAGGAUUAAGGUGUGGUACCGUGUGUCAAGCGUGUGAACGUACUAAGCACAUGCCGAGAAAUAUGGUAAAUCGGUAGGCCUAGUACCUGAUUGAACCUGGCAGCAGACUUUACCCCUCACGCGACCUGAGACGUGGUCUCCCAUUCCGGUUAUGGUGGGUACAAGUGCGGUCACUGCACGAUGGCAGUCGGGGUCAGUGAGGCAUUGUACGCCAAGGCGGUGAGCCCUGAUCUGCUGGCGGGGAAUCGAUGGGGGCGAUUGAUAUAUGUGGGGACGGAGUGCCUCGCCAUGUCGUGUGUUUAGGUUUACCUUGCAAGGUUUAAAAACUCGAUUCGAAUCGUCUGCUUCUCGCAGCUAAUGAGACUGCUUCAUCCAUGCUGCUACAUCGAGUAACAAGUGGAAAUGUGAUGACUUGGCAAAAGUUGUUGAUUACUAAAUGUAUGAUACCAUGUAUGAUUAGAUAGGUACACAUUUAGUCUUAAGAGAGUCACACUAAAACUUGAAAAAGCUAAAACAUGAUUUUUAGACUCAGCUAGUGCUUUUGGCAAGCAAACCCCUCAGCCAAACAGCUGCAGGUCUAGAGGUAGAGGAGUAGACUUCAAACACCGGGUAAGUCUAGCUGAGUAUUAGUAUACUCAGCCUUGCUUGUGGCAUAAUUUUACAUGUUCUCUGGAGGACAUGGUUGCUGGAGUGACUUGGCCGUCCAUCUUGCCACCGGGUUGGACAGUCGAGUGGGACCCUACCUCAGCUGAGGAGGAGCAUGAGGAGUGAUGGGACAGGCUUCCCCAUCCCUCCAUUUAUUUACCAUUAGUUUUAUUCCGCUGCAUUCCAAAAAAAGAUCACUACUUUUGCUAAAACUCCGAUGAUGUUGUAAUAAAUUUAAUACUCCUUAAUGUAUGGUUUUAUGCUUUAUUGUAUUUGCUCUGUGCCUCACCAUCGAGUGAGUACGUGGUACUUGAUCCUGUUAGUGGCCUCGUCGGACUAGAUCCGAGGGACUGACGUGUUAUUCCUAUUUAAGUGUGGUCUAGCCUUUAAGGUGGGACUUAGGCACUUAAGUUGGAAUAAUUCAGGCGGUUCUGCCACAGCUGGUAUCGGAGCUUGCACCACAAAGGAAUCAAUUAACUAUAAAUACCAUCCUUUUUCAAAAUUAAAACUUGUUAGAAACAAAUGUUGGAUAGAUCGGUAAGGCGAUAGGUAUGGACAUAGAGCAUGAAGUCUUAGGAUAAUAGAAGGGUAGUUAGGUGGCUAAUUGAGUAAGCCCUACGGGCUACUAUAAAGAAUGGGAUUUUUUCCCUAUUCCCUAUAAGUUGAUGUGAGGUCAUUUAGGACAAGCAUGCAUGCAUCAUUUAAUCAAACUACUUGGUAAUUAGUUAAGAGCUUUAAAAUGAUAUGAGGCAUGAUAACGAAAGAUUAAGUACACUCAGUGACCUUAUCGUAACCUUCGAUAGGCCGAGCCUUGAUCCCCUUUUUACUUUUAUAAUUCUUUUUCUUUUUUCGCUACGCUUACCCAUAUACAGAUGACUUCUCAUGGAUCCUCGGAUGGAGGGAACACACAUUACCACACGGACGGACUUGACGAGAGGGUUUUCCCCGUAUCUUGUGGGAGGUACUGCAGGGAGCCGGUUACACGAUGCCUCCCCAGUACACGGUGCAGCUGUUCGAGAAGCACCGGGUGCCUCGCUGUAGGGUGAGGAUGACCCUGGAGCCUCAUCCCUUACAGCCAGGCUGGCGUUCGUUGGACUCCAAGUCUUUCGGAUAUCGGGCCGAGGAUACUAUCGAGGACAUUGCUCUCCACGGGCUGACCACCUUCUGUGGUUUUCACCCCUUGGAGCUGUCCACUCACCCCAUUGGUUUGUUCUCCACGGAAAAGGAGGACGACCCAAUGUGGAAGGAUCGAGUGGAACAUGCCAAGGAUGUGUGGGCUCUAUACCUAGGGUAGACUGCUCACCUCACGGUGCGAUGCAUGAAUGCCAUGUAUCGUCUGCAAGUGCUGCGAAGAGAGGCCAUGUCUUAGCUAAUGGCAUUGUUGGAGGCUACCAAGAUCACCCUAGACAAUAGAGAGGAACUUGUGGUAGACCUAUCCACUGAGAUGGUGGAAAAGGACCUGCAGGUGGAAUAGAUGGCCAACAGAUCCAGGAGCUUGAGGAGCUAGUGGGAACCAGGGAGAACACCAUUGAGGUUCUCGAGGAUCAUCUUCUAAACACUCAGCAGCAACUUGAGGAAGCUAACCAAACCAACAUUUGUAUAUGCACCACCAGGAGAUCCAGGACAUGGAGGCCAACGAGGAUGUCGACAUUGAGGGAGGAGAGGAUUCAGAGCCUGCAUCCAGCUUGGACACUGCUGGCUCAAGGAGACCACCUUCCCCCAAGUCGAGCGUUGCCUCGUUUGCUCACUAGGUGGCAGGGAUAGAGUUAGAAGUGUGUGGCGGUAGAACUCCUCGAAGCUAGCUUAGCUUUUGCACCCUUGGGGUACUAGGCUAGACAAAGUUGAGUCUUUUGAGCACUGAUGUAACCAGUAGCAAACUCUUUUGGAAUUAUGCAUGAUGAAUGAUGUCAGCUUUAAUUUAUGAAGAAAAGUUUUAUGCCACGUAGCAUGUUUUAUGAAUUAUGCAAGAAAAUAUUGGUUUUACCCUUUCAAAUCUUUCACCACGUAUGAACCCUGACAUCAGAAGUAUGAUAUUGAGAGCAUCCUUAAUUUUUCAGAUGGCUGGAAGAGCGUGUCGUGGACAGAAUGAACACAUUCCUCCACUACCACCAUCGUCUCCUACCAUGCAAGAGUUGAUGGCUCAGCAGAACGAGAUUCUGUGACAGUUGGCUCAGCGUCAGCCGCCAUCUCAGCACUAUGGUGGUGGUGACCACCAUCAGCGUCCCCCAGCAGCAGCCACUUAUCAGGAGUUCCUCAGCACGAAGCCGCCAUUGUUCACUCGGGCAGAGGAUCCGCUUGAUGCUGAUGUAUGGCUCAGGGUAGUGGAAUCCAAAUUCCCACUACUCAAUGGAUUUUGUUCAGAUGUGGCUAAGGUCCGGUUCGCCACCCAGCAGCUCCGCAAACCCAUGCGAACAUGGUGGGACCACUUCCUCGCUAUGCAGCCAAUUGACCACGUGGUGGAAUGGGGAGAAUUUAAGGCAGCAUUCAGAGGGCAUCACAUACCAACAGGCAUCAUGGACCGCAAGCUUAAUGAGUUUCUGUUACUUACUCAGGGGAACCGUACAGUGUUGCAGUACGCUCAGGCCUUCAAUGACUUGUGUCAGUAUGCCGGAUAUCAUGCAGACACUGAUGAGAAGAAGAGGGAUAGGUUCAGGAGGGGACUCAGCACUAAGCUUCCCGACCAUCUCAACACCGUCAGGGCCAACAGUUACAAUGAGUUAGUCAACAUGGCCAUUUCCUAGGAGGACUGCAUCACAGCCUGCCAAGCAGAAAAGAAGAGGAAGACCCCUGUGGGAGGACCUUCAGCUCAGCCUCAGCGCUUCAGAAUUGUAUCUGACACUCAGAACAGGGGACCUCAACAGCAGCAAGGACGUUGGGUGAUCCGACCACAGCAGCAGCAGUAGCAAGCACCCAACCGCUCUCAGCUCCCAGUUCAGAGGAACAACAAUUAGUCAUAGCAGCAGCAGUACCGUCAGGCCAAUGACAACAGGUGUUUCACUUGUGGUAACACUAGGCACUAUGCCAAGAAUUGCCCCAGGAAUCAGCAGAGGCAGGGACAGGGUUCCAAUCAGAACCAAGGCAAGAGGCAGAAGGUGCAAGUGAGGCAAGACAGGCUGAACUUCACCACCAUGGCUGACAUUCCAGAGGGAGCACCCGUCAUGACUGGUAUCUUUUCCGUUUUGAAUUAUCCUGCCAUCAUUCUUUUUUAUUCUGGUGCGUCACACAGUUUUAUCAGUACAAAAUUUAGUGCCAAAUGUCAGUUACCUUUCCAUCACACCAAUGGGGUAUUACAAUUUCAACACCAGGAGGCAGGGUUGCCACCUAUCAAAUCAACAGGCAUGUGCCUAUAAAGUUUGGUAGUCUGAUAAUUAAAACCACCCUCCUCAUUUUGGGAUUGGAUAGUGUGGAUAUCAUUUUAGGAACUGACUGGUUAACAAGACAUCAGGCAGUAAUUGAUAUUGCAGCAAGGGCCAUUGAGGUGCACUCACCUACUUGUGGUGAAACCACAUUAUAUUUGCCCGAUCAGGGUUGUACCCGUUCCUGUGCAUUCACCAUGAUAGAAUCACCGGUUGAGAGAAUCCCAAUGGUCUGUGACUACCCAGAUGUUUUUCCGGAUGAAUUGCCAGGGAUGCCACCCGACAGAGACAUAGAGUUCGCAAUUGAAUUACAACCCGGAACUGCCCCUAUAUCCAAGAGACCUUAUAGGAUGCCUCCAGCAGAAUUGGCGGAGUUGAAAAAGCAGUUGCAAGAAUUGUUGGGCAAGGGGUUUAUUUGCCCAAGUACUUCUCCAUGGGGAUGUCCCGCCUUAUUCGUGAAGAAGAAAGAUGAGAGUUUGAGGUUGUGUGUUGACUACCGCCCUCUCAAUGCGGUGACCAUCAAGAAUAAGUAUUCAUUGCCCCGCAUUGAUGUAUUGUUUGAUUAGUUGGUGGGAGCCUAGGUAUUUUCAAAGAUAGACCUCCGUUCCGGCUACCAUCAGAUCAAGAUCAGGGCCAAUGAUAUUCCGAAGACAGCUUUCUCUACCCGAUAUGGGCUUUAUGAGUAUUUGGUGAUGUCUUUUGGGCUGACCAAUGCCCCGGCUUAUUUCAUGUAUUUGAUGAACUUAGUCUUUAUGCCAGAGCUGGACAAGUUUGUGGUGGUCUUCAUUGAUGACAUUCUGGUUUAUUCCAAAAAUGAAGCUGAGCAUACUGAGCAUCUACAAAUCGUACUUCAGCGACUACGUGAUCAUCAGUUGUAUGCUAAAUUUUCCAAAUGUGAUUUCUGGCUGAAGCAGAUAAAAUUUUUGGGUCACACCAUUUCUCAGAAUGGGGUAUCAGUUGAUCCUGAAAAAGUACAAGAAGUGAUGGAUUGGAAACCUCCUACCAUAGUACAGCAGAUCCGUAGUUUUCUGGGAUUGGCAGGGUAUUAUCGACGAUUUAUUCCGGAUUUCUCCAGGAUUGCCAAGUCAAUGACUGAAUUGUUGAAGAAAGGAGUCAAGUAUGAAUGGACCCAGAAAUGUGAGGAUGCCUUUCAUACACUAAGGCAACAUUUGACAAUAGCACCCGUGCUAGCUCAUCCUAACAACACCAAACCCUUUGAGGUUUAUUGCGAUGCUUCCGGUACUGGAUUGGGAUGUGUCUUGAUGCCUCCUGAGCACUCAGAUCCCAUGAGCAGAACUACCCCACCCAUGAUCUGGAGUUAGCAGUCGUAGUUCAUGCUCUCAAGAUUUUGAGACAUUACUUGAUGGGGGCUCAUUGUAAUAUCUAUACUGAUCACAAGAGUCUCAAAUAUAUUUUCACUCAGGCUGAUCUUAAUAUGAGACAGAGGAGAUGGUUGGAAUUAAUCAAGGACUAUGAUUUGGAAGUGCAUUACCAUCCUAGCAAUGCCAAUGUUGUGGCAAAUGCCUUAAGUCGGAAGGCCCAAUGCAACUGUGUGAGUAUGGAUGCAAAAAUCACCACCCUAUGUGACGAGUUGUGCAAGAUGAACAUAGAAGUUGUUUCCUCCGGUGCUUUAAGUUAUUGUUGGCGUUUCGAGACCGGGGGGUCCCUAAGCCGAUGAGUGAAUGUCGCCGCGUGCCCCAGCCCAGAUGGGUCGAGCGCGUGGGCGAGCGCGAAGGGGGGAAGUGAGGUGGCCGGAGAUGGGCGUGAGAGAGGUGGAAAUCCCACGGCCUUCGUGUUCGUCCCGCGCCCAGGUCGGGUGCGCUUGCAGUAGGGGGUUACAAGCAUCCACGCGGGAGAGGGAAGCGAGCGGCCCAAGAGAGCGCCUGUCCCGUCCUCGUCCCCGCGCGGCCAACCUUCUCUAAGAGGGCCCUGGUCCUUCCUUUUAUAGGCAUAAGGAGAGGAUCCAGGUGUACAAUGGGGGUGUAGCAGAGUGCUAUGUGUCUAGCGGGGGAGAGCUAGCACCCUAAGUACAUGCCGAUGUGGCAGCCGGAGAGAUCUUGGCACCCAGCUGGUGUGAUGUCGUGGCCGUCGGAGGAGCGACGGAGCCUGGCGGAGGGACAGCUGUCGGAGCGGUUGAGUCCUUGCUGACGUCCUCCUGCUUCCAUAAGAGAGCUGAGAGCCGCCGUCGUCACAGAGCUUGUGGGGCGCCAUCAUUACCUAUCUGGCGGAGCUAGCCAGAUGGGACACCAGUCUUGUUCUCAGCGGCCCGAGUCAGCUCGGGGUAGGGUGAUGAUGGCGCUUCCUGUUGACGUGGCUGGCUUGCGCCCUAGGUUGGGCGACGUGGAGGCUCCUCCGAAGCCGAGGUCGAGUCUGUCUUCCGUGGCCGAGGCCGAGUCCGAGCCCCUGGGUCGGGCGAGGCGGAGGUCGUUCGGCAGAGGCCAGGGCGGAGUCCGAGCCCUGGGGUCGGGCGAAGCGGAGUUCAUCGUCUUCUGGGGCUGAGCCCGAGUCCGAGCCCAGGGGUCGGGCGAAGCAGAGUUCGUUGUCUUCUGGGGCUGAGCCCGAAUCCGAGCCCUGGGGUCGGGUGGAGCGGAGUUCGUCGUCUUCUGGGGCUGAGCCCGAGUCCGAGCCCUGGGGUCGGGCGAAGCGGAGUUCGUCGUCUUCUGGGGCUGAGCCCGAAUCCGAGCCCUGGGGUCGGGCGGAGUGGAGUUCGCCGUCUUCAGGGACUUAGCCCGAGUCCGAGCCCUGGGGUCGGGCGGAGUGGAGUUCGCCGUCUUCCGGGACUUAGCCCGAGUCCGAGCCCUGGGUCGGGCGGAGCGGAGUUCGCCGUCUUCCGGGACUUAGCCCGAGUCCGAGCCCUGGGUCGGGCGGAGCGGAGCUUCCUAUGGUGCCUUUGGCAGGGCCUGACUGCCUGUUAGUUUCACUCUGUCAAGUGGCACUACAGUCGGAGUGGCGCAGGCGGCGCUGUCCUUUUGUCAGGCCGGUUAGUGGAGCGGCGAAGUGACGGCGGUCACUUCGGCUCUGCCGGGGGGGCGCGUGUCAGGAUAAAGGUGUCAGGCCACCUUUGCGUUAAAUGCUCCUGCGAUUCGGUCGGUCGGUGCGGCGAUUCAGUCAGGGUUGCUUCUUAGCGAAGGCAGGGCCUCGGGCGAGCCGGAGAUGUGUCCGCCGUUGGAGGGGGGCCUCGGGCGAGACGGAAAUCCUCCAGGGUCGGCUACCCUUGUCCGAGGCUAGGCUCGGGCGAGGCAUGAUCAAGUCGCUCGUAUGGACUGAUCCCUGACUUAAUCGCACCCAUCAGGCCUUUGCAGCUUUAUGCUGAUGGGUGUUACCAGCUGAGAAUUAGGAGUCUUGAGGGUACCCCUAAUUAUGGUCCCUGACAGUAGCCCCCGAGCCUCGAAGGGAGUGUUAUCACUCGCUUGGAGGCUUUCGUCGCACUUUUUCGCAAGGGGACCAGCCUUUCUCGAUUGCAUUUUGUUCCGGUGGGUGCGCGCGAGCGCACCCGCCGGGUGUAGCCCCCGAGGCCUUGGAGGAGUGGUUUCACUCCUCCGAGGUCUUAAUGCCUUGCGCAACGCUUCGGCUGGUCUGGUUGUUCCCUCAUGCGAACUGGCCGUAGCCCGGGUGUACGGUCGGGGUCCAAGUUCUCGGGCUGGUAUGUUGACGCUGUCAACGGUUCGGCCGGAGCCGGGUUUGCGAGAGCAGCCCCCGAGCCUCCGCACAGGGCGAGAGGGCGAUCAGGGACAGACUCGGCCUUUUUAUAUACGCCCCUGUGUCGCCUUUCCGCAAGGAGGAGGGGGGGGGAAAGCGCCAUGUUACCCUCGAUGGGCGCCGAACAUGGUGUCUCCGGUGAGCUGCAAGCGGGUAAUCCGAGUGGACGUCCGUGCCCCAUUCGUUAGGGGUCGGCUAGGGGCCCAGAGGCACGCCCAAAAGUACCUGCGGGUGAUCUGCCGGACCCGGUCCCCUGGCGACGGGGUCCGAGGGCUCGAUGCCUCCCUCCGAUGGGAUUCCGUUACAAGAUCGCUCCCGCUGGUCUCGGAAAUGUCCUAGGGUACCUCGGGAGCGCAGCCCGAGCCUCGGUUAUGUAUCGAACGUACCCCUGGUCAUCCCUCGCUCGACGUCUGAGGCGGCUGUGAACCCUUCGGAGGCCAGCCUUCGAACCCCUGAUCAGUAAUGGGCGCGGAGCCCGAGUAGCCUGAGGCGGCCGUGGAACCCUUCGGGGGGCCGGCCUUCGAACCUCUGACCAGUAGUGGGUGUAGGGCCCACGCGAUCUGAGGCGGCUGUUGAACCCUUCGGGGGGCCAGCCUUCGAACCUCUGAUCAGUAGGGAGGCUCGGAGCCCGGUUCCUUCACAGGGGAGGAUCCUUUUCGGGGUAUCCCCCUUUCCCGGUUCCUGUUGCAAGAGAUAGAGAAAGAGGAAAAAAAGGAAAAGGAUACGAAAUCGAACGACGUGGCGUACCUUUUUUGGUGCGGUUAUUACGGUGAAGGCGAAGCGUCGCCCGCUUCUCCUGCCAGAAGCGCCGCCUGUCCUGCCGCGGAGUUAAUGCGACGGGGCGAGCGGUUGGCGGGGCGGCCGUUGCGCAUGCGCGAGCCGUUCGAGGAACGGAUCACGGGCGCGUCGUCUUCACGCCGUGAGAGGGGGUUCUCUUGCUGCCCCCAGAUGGGACGUGAGCUUGGCUGAUGACGUGACCGCUGCUCCCGCCCGCCUGCCACCGUCGUUACUGCCGGCCCACUUUCGGCCGCAUUGACCGCCGCGCCAGGCUGGCGCUGCUGGGUCGUGCGCUGGGUCGCCUCGAGUCGCGGUAUUGGUUCCACAAUCCAGGAGGCGCGGUGGUGGCGCAAGUGGCGGUGCAGUUGCUUGCAUGCAGCAUUCGGCGCGCCGGUUGCGUGACGCGUGGGCCUGGGCCUCGAGGCUGGGCGCGUUGGGAGUCGGAGAAGCGCGUCCACUUGGCGCGGUUGCAUGCCGCCUGCAUGGCUGCCCGCCUCUUUCGCCCGUUGGUCUGGGCAAAAGUGGAGGGUCACUUGUAACCGUCGGGCGGUCGUGUGUGCACCACUCGCGGCGGUUUGGCUUCUUCUGCUCUGAACCGGCUUGCAUGACAUGCGGGACCCAGCCCCCGCGCCGCUGGGGAAGGCCUUGGAGCGUGUUGGAGAAGACUCAGCCCGUGACGGCUGGGGGCACGAGUAGGGAGAGUUGCCUUUAAAAGGAGGGCGACCCCUUUGGAAGGCGACCAUGUCUUCUCGCUCCCUUAUGUAUCGCGUCUCUCCACCUUCCAAGCCCCCGGAUGGGGGAUACCCGCCGUCUUUUCGCCUCAUCGUUGGAGGAACGCAACUCCGUGGGAGUUGGUACCUUUCAGCCAUCGUUCGGCUUCAAGGAUUUUCAUCACACAGCCCGGUUGCUCCCCUUCGCUGGUGGUCACCCAAGACGGUGACCUCCAGCUCCUGGAUGGGGAGAGGCAAUCCGGGCUGUGAUCCCGAUCCCGCCCUCAGCAUCGAGGGUGUUCGUCAUCCUCGCUGGGGCGGGGAGCGAGGCGAGCCGGGGCUCUACCUCCUGCGCGGGUCGGUGGGCCACCUCUUCUUCUAGCUUCUGGUGGUGGCAAUCGUCCUCCAGCCCUGCGGCGGAGACGUCCUCCAGCCAUGCCGGGGAAGGCGAACUGUUGCUGCCCAGCUAGGAUGCAACAUUCCGCCCUCUCCCUCGCAUUCGCGGCGAGGACGGCAGCGAGGAUCUGCCGGUGCGCUUGGGAGCGGCCCGCUCUUUGGCUUCAAUAGCUGGUUCGCGUCCCUUGAGCGGGACCGCGAACGAGAGCCCUCCGGCGGCUGCGUCCACCCGGGACCAUGGCUGCUGCUGCAGAGGUCGCUGGCGAGUCUCCCAAUGUUCGUCGCCCCGCAGGCUCGAGGUCGCUCAUACCCGCGGGGACGGAACCAGAGUUCCGUUUGUAAUGGCACUUUGAAUGCCAGUGUUUUUGUUCAUUAUGGCUGUCGAGGCCUGAACAUGUAUGUAAUUUUGGCACGGAGCCGUGUUUUUUCCUCAUUUUCGAGCACUAAGACUCGCCUGUUGAUUAUCUGAACCGCUUCACCAAGCAUGAGUCGCCCCGUGUCAAGGUGACGAGUGAGGUAUCCGUAUCCCGGAGGUGUAGGAGUCCCUCGGCUCGGUCGGCCUUGUUGUCUGAGGCUCCUCUAGCUUAGUUAAAGGGACCCCUUGGCCGCUCUUCGACGAGCCAAGGCCAGGGGUAGCGAUAUCAGCAUGAACAAAGGCGGAGUUGGCUCGAAAAUGAAAACCUGGUUGGCCGGAGCCUAGCCGGGUUGUCCGUUAGCGGGACCGACGCCGGAGUUGACCAGCCGAGGCCUCAGGUCGGGCUGGCGCCCUUGAAAGAUGGUUGGCCGAGGCCCCAGAGGUGACCGGCCGAGCCGGCUGCUCGGGCCGGAUUCCCGGAGAAGACCCUGGCGGCGAUGGCCCGGGCGUGGCGAUGACGUCGCCCUUCAGAGUGGAGGUCUUCGGACCGCGUCACCGUCCGAGGCUAGGUCGAACCUCGCCGAAGUUGUUGUCGAUGCUGAGGGUGCUGCUGCCCCCUUCUAGCGUCAAGACCCGAGCCUGCAGGAUCAGAUUGUCUUGUAGCGUAUGCCUUCUGCGGCCGCCGAGGCCAGAAUACACACCCUCGCUGUGUUGUAAAGCUGCGUCUCCUUUCCUCUUGUUUCGAGUAUCUGGACUUUUUUGUCGGUAACAGGGAUGUUUGUGCGAGCGAGAGUUGCUUCUCGUGGAAGGUGAUGAGUGAGGUAUCCGUAUCCCGGAGGCGUGGGAGUCCCUCGGCUCAGUCGGCCUUGCCGCUUACGCGCACUUUCACCCGUCCAUGAGGCUCUGUCACCGACUCAGUCGAGAAGGCUCGAAGGAUCUCUUGGGCAGAAGAGCUUCCGAACGUGAAGACUUGUUCGGUCCGCGGAAUCACUUUAUCCGAACGCGAGUUACUUAUCGCAGAAGGUGAUGAGUGAGGUAUCCGUAUCCCGGAGGCGUAGGAGUCCCUCGGCUCGGUCAGCCUUGGCUGCUUACGUGUACUCCGUCGUUUUCAGGAUCCACUUUUCGAAGUAGUCAGAAAGCACGAAAGAUAUUCUGGCAGAAAGGAUCUUUUUUUGAGGAAAAUUUCAACGCAGAGGGGGUUCCCCCCCUUUUAGCCCCCGAGGGAGGGUCGGGCUUUACCGAGGCGAGGCCGACCCUUCCUUGAUGACUAAACUUUGCGUGGGUGCGAGGUAUAUGAACAACUUGAAAACAUCUUAAGGGUAGAAGCGACGUAGCUGCUGGAUGUUCCAAGCGUUGCCGUAGACCUCGCCUUGACUGUUGGCCAGCUUGUACGUUCCGGGCUUCAGAACUUUGGCGAUGAUGAAUGGCCCCUCCCAGGGGGGCGUGAGCUUGUGCCUCCCUCGGGCGUCUUGCCGCAGCCGAAGCACCAGGUCGCCCACCCGGAGGUCUCGGGGCCGGACCCCUCGGGCGUGGUAGCGUCGCAGGGACUGCUGGUACCGCGCCGAGUGUAGCAAGGCCUUGUCCCGAGCCUCUUCCAGCUGGUCCAGCGAGUCUUCUCGGCUAACUUGGUUGCUUUGAUCGCUGUAGGCCCUCGUCCUUGGGGAGCCGUAUUCCAGGUCAGUGGGCAAGACGGCCUCGGCCCCGUAGACCAGGAAGAACGGCGUGAAACCCGUGGCUCGGCUCGGCGUUGUCCUCAGGCUCCAGACCACCGAGGGGAGUUCCUUCAUCCAUCGCUUGCCGAACUUGUUGAGGUCGUUGUAAAUCCGAGGCUUGAGCCCUUGUAGAAUCAUGUCGUUGGCACGCUCUACUUGCCCAUUCGACAUGGGAUGAGCCACGGCGGCCCAGUCCACCCGGAUGUGGUGACCCUCGCAGAAGUCCAAGAAUUUUCUGCUGGUGAACUGGGUACCGUUGUCGGUGAUGAUGGAGUUCGGGACCCCGAAGCGAUGGAUGAUGUUGGUGAAGAACGUCACCGCCUGCUCGGACCUGAUGCUGUUCAGGGGUCGGACCUCGACCCACUUGGAGAAUUUGUCGAUGGCGACCAGCAGGUGCGUGUAGCCCCCGGGCGCCUUCUGCAAGGGGCCGACGAGGUCCAGACCCCACACAGCAAAGGGCCAGGUGAUGGGUAUCGUCUGCAGAGCCUGAGCGGGCAGGUGGGUCUGCUACGCAUAGAAUUGACACCAUUCGCAGGUACGGACAAUUCUAGUGGCGUCAGCCACCGCCGUUGGCCAGUAGAAGCCUUGCCGGAAAGCAUUCCCGACAAGGGCUCGAGGCGCUGCGUGAUGGCCGCAAGCCCCCGAGUGUAUCUCUUGCAGGAGUUCCUGACCUUCGGUGAUGGAGAUGCAUCGCUGGAGGAUGCCCGAGGGCUGCGGUGGUAGAGCUCCUUCUCAUCGCCCAGCAAGACGAACGACUUGGCGCGUCGCGCUACCCGCCGAGCCUCGGCUCGGUCGAGGGGUAGCUCUCCUUGGCGGAGAUACUGCAGGUACGGGGUCUGCCAAUUUCGAUCAGGCGUGGCCCCGCUCCGCUCCUCCUCGACGUGUAGUGCCUCGCCCUCGAAGGCCGAGGGUACCUCGGGCUGAACCGAGGGCGCCUCGGGCCGAGCUGAGGGCGCCUCGGGAUGCGCCGAGGGUACCUCGGGCUGGACCGAGGGCGCCUCGGGCCGAGCUGAGGGUGCCUCGGGCUACGCCGAGGGUACCUCGGGCUGGACCGAGGGCGCCUCAGGCUCGGGCGAGUCGUCGAUCUUGACGGAGGGUUGAUGCAGAUCCCGGGAGAAGACGUCCAGGGGAACCGUUGUUCGCCCCGAGGCUAUUUUUGCCAGCUCGUCCGCAGUCUCGUUGUAGCGCCGAGCGAUGUGGUUAAGCUCGAGCCCGUAGAACUUGUCUUCCAGGCGCCGAACCUCAUCGCAGUAGGCCUCCAUCUUCGGGUCGCGGUAGUGGGAGUUCUUCAUGACUUGGUCGAUGACGAGCUACGAGUCACCGCGGGCGUCGAGGCGCCUGACCCCUAGCUCGAUGGCGAUCCGCAACCCGUUGACCAGAGCCUCGUACUCAGCCACAUUGUUGGACACCGGGAAAUGGAGGCGUAGCACAUAGCGUAGGUGUUUCCCGAGGGGCGAGAUGAAGAGUAGGCCCGCGCCAGCUCCCGUCUUCAUCAGCGACCCGUCGAAAAACAUGGUCCAAAGCUCUGGUUGGAUCGGAGCCGUCGGCAGCUGGGUGUCGACCCAUUCGGCUACGAAGUCCGCCAAUACCUGGGACUUGAUGGCCUUCCGAGGGGCGAACGAGAUUGUCUCGCCCAUGAUUUCCACCACCCACUUUGCAAUCCUGCCCGAGGCCUCUCGGCACUGGAUGAUCUCCCCCAGGGGGAAGGAUGACACCACAGUUACCGGAUGAGACUCGAAGUAGUGUCGCAACUUCCGCCUCGUCAGGAUCACUGCAUACAGCAGCUUCUGAACUUGUGGGUAGCGGAUCUUGGUCUCGGACAGUACCUCGCUGACGAAGUAAACUGGCCUCUGAACGGGCAAUGCAUGCCCCUCUUCUUGCCUCUCGACCACAAUCGCGACGCUAACCACCUGAGUGGUCGCGGCGACGUAGACCAAGAGGGCUUCCCCAUCAGUUGGAGGCACCAAGAUAGGCGCCUUUGUGAGGAGCGCCUUCAGGUUCCCGAGAGCUUCCUCGGCCUCAGGGGUCCAAGCGAAGCACUCAGCCUUCCUUAAGAGGCGGUACAGUGGCAGGCCUCUUUCGCCGAGGCGUGGGAUGAAGCGGCUCAAGGCCGCAAGACAUCCCAUGACCCUCUGUACGCCUUUUAAGUCCUUGAUGGGCCCCAUGCUGGUGAUGGCUGCGAUCUUCUCCGGGUUGGCUUCGAUGCCCCGCUCGGAGACGAUGAACCCCAAGAGCAUGCCCCGGGGGACCCCGAAGACACACUUCUCGGGAUUGAGCUUGACGCCUUUCGCUUUGAGACAUCGGAAUGUUACUUCAAGGUCGGAGAGGAGGUCGGAAGCUUUCCUUGUCUUGACUACGAUGUCAUCGACGUAGGCCUCGACCGUGCAACCGAUGUGUUGGCCGAACACAUGGUUCAUGCACCGCUGAUACGUCGCGCCCGCAUUCCUCAAUCCGAACGGCAUGGUGACAUAGAAGUACAUGCCGAAGGGCGUGAUGAAAGAAGUCGCGAGCUGGUCAGACUCUUUCAUCCUGAUCUGGUGAUACCCUGAGUAGGCGUCGAGGGAAGACAGGGUUUCGCACCUAGCAGUGGAAUCCACGAUUUGAUCGAUGUGAGGCAGAGGGUAGGGAACCUUCGGACAUGCUUUGUUGAGACCAGUGUAGUCUACAUACAUCCGCCAUUUCCCCCCUUUCUUUCUCACAAGCACAGGGUUGGCAAGCCAUUCGGGAUGGAAUACCUCUUUGAUGAACCCUGCUGCCAUUAGCUUGUGGAUCUCCUCGCCUAUCACUCUGCGCUUCUCCUCGUCGAAUCGGCGCAGAGGCUGCUUGACGGGUCGGGCUCCGGCCCGAAUAUCCAGCGAGUGCUCAGCGACAUCCCUCGGUAUGCCGGGCAUGUCCGAGGGACUCCACGCAAAGACGUCGGCGUUUGCGCGGAGAAAGUCGACGAGCACUGCUUCCUAUUUGGGGUCGAGCCCGGAACCGAUCCGGAUCUGCUUGGAGGUGUCGCCACUGGGGUCGAGAGGGACGGCCUUGACCGUCUCCACUGGCUCGAAGUUGCCGGCAUGGCGCUUCACGUCGGGCACCUCUUUGGAGAGGCUUUCCAGGUCGGCGAUGAGGGCCUCGGACUCGACGAGGGCCUCGGCGUACUCCACGCACUCCACGUCGCAUUCGAACGCGUGUUUGUACGUGGGGCCGACGGUAAUGACCCCGUUGGGGCCCGACAUCUUGAGCUUCAGGUAGGUGUAGUUGGGGAUGGCCAUGAACUUCGCAUAGCAUGGCCUCCCCAGUACCGCGUGGUAGGUUCCUCGGAACCCGACCACCUCGAACGUCAGAGUCUCCCUUCGGAAGUUGGAGGACGUUCCGAAGCAGACGGGAAGGUCGAGUCGUCCGAGGGGCUGGACGCGCUUCCCGGGAAUGAUCCCGUGGAAGGGCGCAGCGCCUGCUCGGACGGAGGACAGAUCGACGCACAGGAGCCUGAGGGUCUCGGCGUAGAUGAUGUUGAGGCAGCUGCCCCCGUCCAUAAGGACCUUGGUGAGCCUGACGUCGCCGAUGAUGGGGUCGACGACGAGCGGGUAUUUCCCGGGCUCGGCACGUGGUCGGGGUGGUCAGCUUGGUCGAAGGUGAUGGGCUUGUCGGACCAGUCUAGGUAGACUGGCGCCGCCACCUUCACCGAGUAGACCUCCUGGCGCUCUUGCUUGCGAUGUCGAGCCGAGGCAUUUGCCGCAUGCCCACCGUAGAUCAUGAAGCAGUCGCGGACCUCGGGGAACUCUCCUGCUUGGUGAUCUUCCUGCUUGUCGUCGUCGCGGGCCCUGCCACCCUCCACGGGUGGCCCGGCCCUGUGGAAGUGGCGCCAAAGCAUGACGCACUCCUCAAGGGUGUGCUUGACGGGCCCCUGAUGAUAGGGGCACGGCUCCUUGAGCAUCUUGUCGAAGAGGUUGGCACCUCCGGGGGGCUUCCGAGGGUUCUUGUACUCGGCGGCGGCGACAAGGUCCACGUCGGCGGCGUCGUGUUUCGCUUGCGACUUCUUCUUGCCUUUCUUCUUGGCGCCGCGCGGAGUAGACGCCUCGGGAGCAUCUUCCGAUGGGCGGCCCUGGGGCUGCUUGUCCUUUCGGAAGAUAGCUUCGACCGCCUCCUGGCCAGAGGCGAACUUGGUGGCGAUGUCCAUCAGCUCGCUCGCCCUGGUGGGGGUCUUGUGACCCAACUUACUCACCAGGUCGCGGCAGGUGGUGCCGGCAAGGAACGCGCCGAUGACAUCCGAGUCGGUGAUGUUGGGCAGCUCGGUGCGCUGCUUCGAGAAUCGCCGGAUGUAGUCCCGGAGAGACUCUCCCGGCUGCUGCCGGCAGCUUCGGAGGUCCCAGGAAUUCCCGGAGCGCACGUACGUGCCCUGGAAAUUGCCGGCGAAGGCUUGGACCAGGUCAUCCCAGUUGGAGAUCUGCCCCGGAGGCAGGUGCUCCAACCAGGCGCGAGCGGUGUCGGAGAGGAACAGGGGGAGGUUGCGGAUGAUGAGGUUGUCGUCGUCCGUUCCACCCAGUUGGCAGGCCAGGCGGUAGUCCGUGAGCCACAGUUCUGGUCUCGUUUCCCCCGAGUACUUUGUGAUAGUAGUCGGGGGUCGAAACCGGGUCGGGAACGGCGCCCGUCGGAUGGCCCGGCUGAAGGCCUGCGGACCGGGUGGUUCGGGCGAGGGACUCCGAUCCUCCCCGCUGUCAUAGCAUCCCCCACGCCUGGGGUGGUAACCUCGGCGCACCCUUUCGUUGAGGUGGGCCCGACGGUCGCGAUGAUGGUGCUCGUUGCCGAGGUGGCCCGGGGCCGCAGGCGCGGUGUUGCGCGUGCGCCCGGUGUAGACCGAGGCUUCCCGCAUGAAUCGGGAAGUCGCGGCAUGAGGUUCCGAGGGGUAUCUCUGCCUUCGGGAGGCAGAGCUCUCAGCCCGUUGGACCGCAGCGCCUUCCAGGAGAUUCUUGAGCUCUCCCUGGAUUCGCCGACCCUCGGUGGUUGAUGGCUCCGGCAUCGCACGGAGAAGCAUCGCUGCUGCAGCCAGGUUCUGACCGACCCCACUGGAUGCGGGUGGUGGCCUGAGCCUGACGCCGUCGGCGACGCGGUGCUGGAGACCCUGGGGCAGGUGACGUAUUUCUCCGGCCGGGGGUUGGCCCGCCCAUGCCUGCCCGACGUCCCGACGGAUCGGCUCAAGCGCUCCUGCUUCCUCGUCGAGCCUGGCCUGCGCCCCGCGGACUUGCUCGAGUUGUGGGUCGUGACCCCCCGCCGGAACGGGGACCACAGCUAGCUCCCGCGGGAUGUCAGCGCGAGGCACCGGCCUAGGGAGAUCACCGUCCUCCGGCAUGCCGAGAUGAUUGCCUUCGGAGGGAUCCCCUAGCUCGACGUGGAAACACUCGCGGCUUGGGCCGCAGUCCUCGUCGUCGGGGCUGCGGCUACCGUCGGAACAGUCGGAGAGGCAGUAGUCACAUGCGGUCAUGAAGUCCCGCAUGGCACUGGGGUUGCCAAAUCCAGAGAAAUCCCAACAGAUGUUGGGGUCGUCAUCUUCCUCGGACCCAGAGGGCCCGUAGGUCGAGACGUCCGUCAGCCGGUCCCAAGGCGACCGCAUGCGAAACCCCAGAGGGUUUGAACUCGCCUCUACGAGAGUGCCCACCAAAGCAAGGUCGCUAGGCGGGUUGUGGCUGAGUCCAAAUGACGUGGGAUGGGAAUCGGUCGGUACCUUUCGGUCGACGAGCAGCGACAUAGUCACGUCGGGGACUGAUUGCACCGCCGUCUCAGGUACGAGGGCGACGUCCUGCAAGCUCUCCGCGAGCGCGCUGGCGUCGUCCACUUGCUCGGGAUUGGCGUGUCGCGGGGAGACGGCGCUCGCCUUCGUCUCAAACGCGAGGUCGACGCCCGGCGCGCCUCCCGUUGGAGCGCUGGGGACGUCGACUCGCUCGACAGCCGACGAGGCGCGGCCUCCCGCUUGGCCUUGGUUGCCCCGCCUCCUCCUCCGUUGGCGGGGGAGAGGACGGGGUGAGCUCGAAUGUUGUUCUUCCACCGUGCGGGGAAGACGUCGUCGAUCCCGCCGCCGGCGGGCGGGCUGUCGGCCGCCAUCGUCGUUGUCGCGCGGCGGUGGAAGGAGUAUCAUGUCGUAGCUGCCGUCGAAGGACAUGAACUCAAGACUCCCGAAACGGAGCACCAUCCCAGGCCGGAGAGGUUGCUGGAGACUGUCCAUCUGGAGCUUGACGGGAAGCUGUUCGUCAACACGCAGCAGGCCCCUACCUGGCGCGCCAACUGUCGGCGUUUCGAGACCGGGGGUUCCCUAAGCCGACGAGUGAAUGUCGCCGCGUGCCCCAGCCCAGAUGGGUCGAGCGCGUGGGCGAGCGCGAAGGGGGGAAGUGAGGUGGCCGGAGAUGGGUGUGAGAGAGGUGGAAAUCCCGCGGCCUUCGUGUUCGUCCCGCGCCCAGGUCGGGUGCGCUUGCAGUAGGGGGUUACAAGCGUGCACACGGGAGAGGGAAGCGAGCGGCCCCAAGAGAGCGCCUGUCCCGUCCUCGUCCCCGCGCGGCCAACCUUCUCUAAGAGGGCCCUGGUCCUUCCUUUUAUAGGCAUAAGGAGAGGAUCCAGGUGUACAAUGGGGGUGUAGCAGAGUGCUACGUGUCUAGCGGGGGAGAGCUAGCGCCCUAAGUACAUGCCGAUGUGGCAGCCGGAGAGAUCUUGGCACCCAGCUGGUGUGAUGUCGUGGCCGUCGGAGGAGCGACGGAGCCUGGCGGAGGGACAGCUGUCGGAGCGGUUGAGUCCUUGCUGACGUCCUCCUGCUUCCGUAAGAGAGCUGAGAGUCGCCGUCGUCACAGAGCUUGCGGGGCGCCAUCAUUGCCUAUCUGGCGGAGCUAGCCAGAUGGGACACCGGUCUUGUUCUCUGCGGCCCGAGUCAGCUCGGGGUAGGGUGAUGAUGGCGCUUCCUGUUGACGUGGCUGGCUUGCGCCCUAGGUUGGGCGACGUGGAGGCUCCUCCGAAGCCGAGGUCGAGUCUGUCUUCCGUGGCCGAGGCCGAGUCCGAGCCCCUGGGUCGGGCGAGGCGGAGGUCGUUCGGCAGAGGCCAGGGCGGAGUCCGAGCCCUGGGGUCGGGCGAAGCGGAGUUCGUCGUCUUCUGGGGCUGAGCCCGAGUCCGAGCCCUGGGGUCGGGCGAAGCGGAGUUCGUCGUCUUCUGGGGCUGAGCCCGAAUCCGAGCCCUGGGGUCGGGCGGAGCGGAGUUCGUCGUCUUCUGGGGCUGAGCCCGAGUCCGAGCCCUGGGGUCGGGCGAAGCGGAGUUCGUCGUCUUCUGGGGCUGAGCCCGAAUCCGAGCCCUGGGGUCGGGCGGAGCGGAGUUCACCGUCUUCCGGGACUUAGCCCGAGUCCGAGCCCUGGGGUCGGGCGGAGCGGAGUUCGCCGUCAUCCGGGACUUAGCCCGAGUCCGAGCCCUGGGUCGGGCGGAGCGGAGUUCGCCAUCUUCCGGGACUUAGCCCGAGUCCGAGCCCUGGGUCGGGCGGAGCGGAGCUUCCUAUGGUGCCUUUGGCAGGGCCUGACUGCCUGUCAGUUUCACUCUGUCAAGUGGCACUGCAGUCGGAGUGGCGCAGGCGGCGCUGUCCUUUUGUCAGGCCGGUUAGUGGAGCGGCGAAGUGACGGCGGUCACUUCGGCUCUACCGGGGGGCGCGUGUCAGGAUAAAGGUGUCAGGCCACCUUUGUGUUAAAUGCUCCUGCGAUUCGGUCGGUCGGUGCGGCGAUUCAGUCAGGGUUGCUUCUUAGCGAAGGCAGGGCCUCGGGCGAGCCGGAGAUGUGUCCGCCGUUGGAGGGGGGCCUCGGGCGAGACGGAAAUCCUCCAGGGUCGGCUGCCCUUGUCUGAGGCUAGGCUUGGGCGAGGCAUGAUCAAGUCGCUCGUAUGGACUGAUCCCUGACUUAAUCGCACCCAUCAGGCCUUUGCAGCUUUAUGCUGAUGGGGGUUACCAGCUGAGAAUUAGGAGUCUUGAGGGUACCCCUAAUUAUGGUCCCCGACAGUUAUAUUUCAGUGGAGCCCACUUUACAUGAGCAGAUAGUCAUGGCACAGGUUGGUGACAAGGGUGUUCAAGUCAUUAAGGAAAUGUUCGAACAAAAGGUGGACAAAUACAAAUGCUUCUGUCAGGACAACAAAGGAAUUCUAUGGUUUGGAGACCGAUUGGUUUUUCCCAAGAACCCCAAUCUUAGAAAGAAAAUAUUGGAUGAAGCUCACCUUUCCAAAUUCUCCAUGCACCCCGGUAGUAACAAGAUGUAUCAUGAUCUUAGAUCCUUGUACUGGUGGACCAGAAUGAAGAGGGAAAUUGCUAAGUAUAUAUCUGAGUGCGACACUUGCCAAAGAGUCAAGGCCAGUCAUUUGAAGGUGGCAGGCUCUUUACAGCCCCUUCCCAUACCAUCUUGGAAAUGGGAGGAUAUUUGCAUGGAUUUCAUUGUGGGAUUGCCCAGCACUUCCCAGCACCACGAUUCUAUUUGGGUCAUUGUGGAUAGGUUGACCAAGACAACUCAUUUCUUGCUAGUAGAUACCACAGGGCAAAGAAGUAUGCAGAAAUCUACAUUGACCAGAUAGUUUGCUUGCAUGGAAUACCAAGGACUAUUGUGUAUGACAGAGGAGCACCAUUUGUAGCAUGUUUCUGGGAGCAAUUGCAAGAAUCACUUGGGACCCAUGUAAUAAGAAGCUCAGCAUACCACCCUCAAACAGAUGGUCAGAAAGAAAGGGUAAAUCAGAUUUUGGAAGACAUGUUGAGGGCAUGUGUGAUACACUAUGGGAAGGAUUGGGACAAGUGUCUUUCAUUGGCGGAGUUCUCUUACAAUAACAACUACCAGUCCAGCCUAAAGAUGGCACCUUUUGUGGCCUUGUAUGGGAGAAGGUGUAGGACACCGCUAAAUUGGUCACAAGCUGAAGAGAGGGAAAUAUUUGGACCUAACUUGGUACUAGAAUUAGAGGAGAAAGUCAGAAUCAUUAAGAGGAACUUAGAGGCUGUUCAGACCAGGCAAAAGAGCUAUCAUGACAAGAGGAGGAAGCCUCUACAGUUUGAAGUGGGAGAUCAUGUUUAUCUUAAGGUGUCACCCACCAAAGGUGUUCAGAGAUUUGGAAGCAAGGGCAAUUUAGCUCCUCGCUACAUUGGGCCCUAUGAGAUCAUAGAAACUUGUGGACCUGUAGCAUAUCAAUUGAAGUUGCCGCCCCAUAUGUCAGCAGUUGAUGAUGUCUUCCACGUAUCUCAGCUACGAAAGUGUGUCCGCUUACCCACAGAAGUGCUACCUGAACCAGAAUUGGAGAUAGAACUAGACUUGUCCUAUCAAGAGCACCCCAUCAAGGUAUUGGACCAAAAGGAGAGAUCAACGCGGGCAAGGUCGAUCAGGAUGUAUAAGGUUCAGUGGAGUCACCAUUCAGUAGAAGAUGCUACGUGGGAGACUGAGGAUUUUCUACGUUCUCGCUUCCCCAACUUUCUAACCAAAGGAGUCGGUACAUAAUCCAAAAACCCCACCCCCACCUGCCCUUUGAAUAUAAAUAUAAGAAAAACCUAGAUGUUAAGAGUAGAGUGAGUUGUGGAAAGAAAUCAAAAAGGGCUUCCAUCUGAAUUUGCAAAGAGAAUGACAUUCGAAGAGCAGUUAACUAGAGAAACUUGGCUGAAGGAAAAUGCAACACAUAGCACACCUUCUUUGUACCCCUUAAAGGAUCCCUACCCAAAAUCUCAAGGCGAGAUUCCUUUAAGGGGGGAGGGUUGUAACACCUCAGGUGUUACCAAGACACUGGCUUCAUACUUGCACUAAGGACCUAUUAUCACAUGUGGUUAAUUGGAGUAGCAGAAGCACAUAAGACUUUGGAAGCAUGAGUUAGCUAAGAAAUGUUAAGGACAAAAGCAUUACCCAAGCAUUUAUGCAAUAAUCACCUUGGGCAAGAGAGGAUUAAACCCUAGACCCUUCUUGAGCCCUUAACUCCCAAAACCCUGGUUUAAGGGAAAUGUUAAACAAAUGUGCAAAUCAUGAGUUAACCCUUAACCAAAGUUUAAGUAACAUUAUAAUCUACAAAAUGUAGAGGGGAAACAUUACAAAAAGACCCCUUAAAGACCCCAAAUCCAUUCUUUAAGUAGAAAGCACCCUAGAGCUCUCUAAUUCUCUCUAAGUCAAAAUUUAACCCUAAUCUAGAGAUCAGAUAUGUUCACUUAGUAAAUGGCACCAAAACCACUUGGUCUAAAUAUCAAAAAGGUGCCAAACCACCUAAGGCACCCACUGGAAAUGUUUGAACCCGAGCUAAAUUCGUUUGACAUGAUUUGGCAUCACUUUUGUCGCAAGGUGGAGAGUGAGACAAGCCAGAUUUGGCGUCCGCAAAUCUUCUGACCUAGGGCUUAUCUCCCCUUGGAACUCACAUACAAGAGAUAGCCAUAGGUACCAGGAACAUGUCUGCACCGGAUUUCUGCCAAGAUUCGCAUGUUUGCGAUCUCAGCAAGCUUUUGAACAUGGGCAGAAGAACACCUCCACGUGUUCGACGCGCCCUGAACGCGCUAGAGCACGCCCGACGCCCGAACCCGCGCGCCCCGCGCCGCGCCAAGCCACGCCCGUGUCCCCUGCCCGCGCCUGCGCCUAUAAAGCCAGCCAAGGCUUCAGUCGUACGCCCUCGCUCGCUCUCGACCUCACCGGAGUACGAGAUCGCCGGAGUUUGCCCUGCACACGGCAUGCCAGCGGCCGCCCGAGCACCCGCCACCUUAAACCGGCAUGCCCUAACUUCUAUUCAUAUCCAGUAAGAACUCCAAAAGCAAGUCAACUCCUAUUAGAGUAAGUAGUAAGUAGAGUUUAGGGAGGUUGAGGAGUGGAAGCUUGCUGUGGCCUAAAGGCUAGUAUCAUAAAGGUGUGUAAGUUCAACUCUUGUAGAGCCUCCACUUUUCUUUCCAUGGAUCACACAGUGAGCGUAUUUGGUAUUUGGAUAUUAUCUGUAUCAAUGACCUGGUGAAUCCUCUUACUCUUAAUAAAUCAUUAGACAAAAUUAAUAAACUAGAAAAGAUCGAUAUCAAGAUAAAACUUGCACAUUUUCCAUUCUGAAAUGUUCCAUAGUAGGUGAAUCACUUUAACUAAUUAAAAAUUCUCAAAAUUAGUGGACUUCCUCUUCGAAAUAGAAAUUGGCUAUUUCCACAUAGGGAAAGUCGUGUGCAAUGAAAAAUGCAAGCACGAUUUGGGGAGGGGUUUUUUCUAUUGUAACAAGGAAGAAUUAUCUACUCCAUCCGACUAGUUCCGGGUUCGAGUCCCGGGCAACCCAUAUGGAAAAUAGAAAAGAGCAAUCUGAGUUUUUCAUUUUUAUUAACUUCAUUUCCCAAAUUUUUGGAUUUGGUAAAUGAAGUUAUACGAAAAUCCAAUCGUUGGGGCUGGCUUGGUUGACAUUGGUAUAUAGACUAUGUUAUACUGUUAAAUAACAAGCCUUCUAUUAUCUAUUUUCUUUCUAGUUAAUACGUGUGCUUGGGAGUCCUUGCAAUUUGAAUAAACCAAGAUCUUACCAUGACUGCAAUUUUAGAGAGACGCGAAAGUACAAGCCUGUGGGGUCGCUUCUGCAACUGGAUAACUAGCACCGAAAAGCAGAGCCAUUCCCAGCCCUGU
Molecule: long non-coding RNA, 53406 nt
Filed under: Zea mays
Lineage: Eukaryota; Viridiplantae; Streptophyta; Magnoliopsida; Poales; Poaceae
Source: RNAcentral